AUAUAUUAGACACUAGUGUUGAGAUGUCUGUCUGUCAUGAUAGCAUGUACUGAGUCGGGGCCAGUACCAGAUAAGAACAUUAAACUAUAAUCCAUAAACGUAAGGUAACAACCGAGACCUAAUGGUGCUGUGACAGCAACACGAUUGAGUUUGAGACAGUGAAAAUACAUAUGGUAUGUUGUAUCUGAACAGGUUAGCUUACGAGCUAAAGUUACUUAGCACAGAUGAAAGUUAAAACAAAGACGUUUAGCAAACUGUUAAAGCACACAAACCAUCGUCAUGUGAGAAAUCCGACACUAUGACUCUCCAUAAGUUGUCCUUCAGGUCUUUAUGUUUGUAAUAUUUGUGUCUUUUAUCAAAAAGCACUCUGUACUCCGACACGUAAACAAUUAGCCGGUCGGCCAUGUUGGAUAUACCGGUGAAUCUGACGUUGUAACACAAAAACACACAGUAUGCAAAACUUUAGAAAAUUCGACCGUGAUACAAAAAAAAUAAAUGCCGCAAUAUCGCAGGACGGGAAAACAUCGCAGAUGUGAACGCUUGUAUUGGUAGGAUAUGGGUUUGAAAAAAAAUAUUGAUGUCCAAAAUAAUCAUACGAAAAAAACGCUCCAGGUGUAAAAGGACCUUUAGGGUCAAGAGAUUCAGAAGUGUGAUAAUGUUCUGUAAUGUUCUAUUCGACGUACAGAGUCGACAGCCUGCGUUUGGCUUAAGCGUGUGAUGACGUUUCCAGCUUUUCUAGCCAAUCAGAGGCAAGGAAGGCGGGACUUUCCCCUACCAUCCUCCAAAAAAAAAAAAUCAGCCCGGUAAUAACCUCCCGUAAAAACUGUUGUUCAGAACUGCACCCAACAUGCUUACUUAUGCUUCCUACCUACUCGGCUACUGUAAUAACCGUUGUUUUAAUUUACACGCAACAUUUUUGUUCUCAUUCAUGAAACCCUUAGAUUGAGGAAAUUUCUGGGGACAGCUUUAGCUGGGGACAGGUCGACCAAUAUGGGAACUGUCCCCGGAAAUCGGGGACGUCUGGUCACCUUAUUGUUGACUGAAUAAUACUUAAAUAUGUCGGAGCUUUUCAAUGACAUGCAAAUAUGCGGUAACCAAGACUUCAGGACUUUGAUUUAUUUGGAUUACUAAGUACAAGUUUGAUUAAGCCGGUGAGAAGCAAAGAGAACCGACAAACUUAUAAAACUACUUUUACAACGUACAUUUUGGUUUGGGUGAUCAUACGUCCUCUUUUACCCGGACAUGUCCUCUUUUUUGGGGGCUGUAUGGCUUUGUCCGGGGAAGUUUAUAAAAUCCUUCAAAUGUCUGCGGUUUUGAACACAGGUUUUCGUGCAACUCCAUGACUCCCCCUCUGCGUAGUUGUGUCCUCUUUCUGGAAGGUCAGAAUAUGGUCACCUUAAUUCUGGUUAUUAAACACAUUUAUAGAGAUGCCGUUACUUAUAGUAUGGAAAAAAAGGCCAACUUUUGGAGAACUUUCUACUUUUCUUCUUUACUUUUCACGGCAUUGUCUCUGAUGCACUGUAUGAACAACUAAAACAGUACUGUCUCUUCAUCCGUGUAACCUUGGCAUUGCAGUUCGCCAAAUGCCGUCCUUUUUAAAACAGUUUUCAUACCAAAAACUUCCAUUUAUGCUAAUGAAAGCUAGAGACAGUAAGGAAGUCAGGUUGCGGUUGCUGUUUUUACCUUACAGAUAUCAAAUGUUGUCAAACUGUUCUCCGGAAUAACCACAACUUCCUUUUUCCUCACCGAGAGCAAGUUUGACUUGUAUAUAUCUGGUAUAAUGAUGCUGUUUCUGUGCUGAAUCAUAAAAACAGUGGAAUCCAACAACCUGAACCGACAGCUGCAUCAGUAAACCUGUGUUUUUUAGUCCUCUGACAAAUAACAGCAAUCUGAGAGUCAUUAAAAACUGUCGAACAUCAUUCUCACUUUUUUUUUUUUUUUUAACGUGCCCCUGAGCCUGGCACUUGAUCCCCUUUCGCUAUGAUUGCUGAGGACUCCGGUUAUAAUGAGCAGCUCACAUGUGAUGCUGCAACUAAGCAUUACAAGACGGGCAGGUUGCUUUCCUGACAAAAGCGAGCCUUGCUCUGUGGUGCGGAUUUGGCAGUUUAGACAGCUGUGGUAUUUGUUUGAUACGGUUUUUAUGUUCGUCAAAACCAGUGAAUGACCACAUACAACCCACGGAUGACAGCGCUGUCAUCUCACACGAAAAACACUCAUAUCUGAGCGAGCUAAAAAAGCAUCAUACGGAGUGAAGGCAAUCAUUACGAAGUCAUUCUUCACCGGGGAUUGAGUGGACAAAAGGAAGAGUUUUCAUAAAUCAUUCCUCCAUGAUAGCGAAGCUUGUCCUCUAGUUUGGCGGUUACAGUAUAUACGAUUCAGCGCCAUAAUAGAUAAGCCACAAAGGUUCCUGGAUGUCUUUGAAAGAAGUGGGAUACAGCGCUGAAAUGAAAGCAGUCCCUGGACAGGUAAUGGCUGAAGAAGAAAUAAAAGACUUCGAAAUGGAUGAUUCAUUUUGUUACAUCCUACAGAAAAAAAAAAUUCCAAAUGUCUCAGAGUGCCGCUGUUAUCUACUUUGUGUCCUCAAGGCUUUCCACACUGUGAUUAAGAAGCCUCUUAAAUCUUUUCUCCAACUUUGUACAAAUGUUUUCACCAAAGUUAAAUAUUGCUUUGAAUUCGUCCCAAAAUGGGGUCAUCCUGGGUGCCUAGCACUUGGAUAGAAAAAGAGAAAUCUCUGCAUUUGAUUAUAACUUCCUCGGAGAUAAUGAAAAAAGUCUGGGGAGCUUUUUUGUUUAUGAGAGUAUUUCAUCUAUCAAAAACAGAUAAAUGAUGCUAAAUGAAGCCAGAUGUUGACCACCAAAGUUCAUGAGGAUGGGAAGUGAUUUAAUGGCUCAUUCUCUGCCUCUCUUAGAAUUCUCUGCACAGUUCAGGGUCUCCUCAUGAUAACCCAGUUCCUUCCAAUGCCUGACUACAGAUAGGCUAGUUUAGCACCUAUUAGAAAAGAGGCUCCAAACCCUUUAAUUAUCUGCAAUAAUGGGACCAUUCUCGUUGUGUUAGCUAACCAUGCUAUGGGGACUAAUAAAGGCUUUCUCAUCUUUUAAAGGGAUAUUCUGGCGUAAAAUUAAUUUAGGGUCAAACACACCAUAACACCGAGUAAGACACCCCCCCUGAGAGAUGAAUGUUGCCGACCGCUUGCUUCUCUAGUUUUACCAACUUUAGUAACGACCGCACGAUAGCAAUACACAGCGGUCUGAGGAGCCAUAAACAAACCUCAACCAAAACACCACUCUAUAGCCACAAAUAAUACUCAGAACAGCACCUAACUUCAUCAACAGUACAUAUAGGGUCCUAGCCACAGCACUAGCCACCAAACAUCUCUUUAGCUUUGCCUGAUUUCUUUAGCAAAGAGACUAAACACAACUUACCCAUUGUCCUCCAGCAGCUGCUUGUUUGUAGCGAGACCUCAGGCCAGUCCAUUACGGACUGCAGCGGAGUUUCGCAGCUCAAGGAAGAACAUUUAUGAUCAUUACUUUAUUCCCUUUAAGUCAUAAUCACCAUAUUAAUCAUUUUGCACUGCAGACGCAGUAGUUCUUCUGCUUUAGCGUCUCGGUUUUGAUUGCAUUUUCAUGAAGGAACGAUCAUUUUCCCCUGUGUUGAUUUUCACUACAGAGUUAUGAUUUUACCAUCUUGUCCCUUUGAAGGUUUUUUUUUUUUUAAUAAUCUUUCAAAUUUUAUUGAUUCCAUGAAUGUCUUUGCAAAAUGCUUGGCAUUUUUUUAUGCUUAGGAACAUAAUUCUGAAGAUGUUGAAUUCAAGCAGGCUCUCACAAAGUGGUGAACCUUACUUCUGAGAGACCGGGUCACUCUGGAACAGUGUUUUCUAUAAAACAAAAUUGUCAAACUUGUUGCUUAUUGUCUUAUUUGCUUUUGGAUGUCACAAAAAAGUAUGUUGCAAAAAACUUAAGCAAAAAAAAAAAAGUAAAAAAGUAUAUUAUUAUAGCACUUUUAGGAGGAGACGUUUUUGUCCAUCUAAGGACCUAAACGUAAGUUUUUUUUCAAGGACCCAGGAGGGUUAAUAUGACUGGACAAUACCAUACCUAUGGAAUUGGGAAUGGGGUUUAAACAUAGUUUUAAUGCAAAAAAAAAAAAAAAAAAAAGGUUUGAAUCCAGCUCAGGGCAUUUCUGUGUGGAGUUUGCAUGUUCUCCCUGUGUCUGCGUGGGUUUACCCUGGGUACUCCGGUUUCCUCCCACAUCCCAAAAACAUGCAGAAGUUGGGUUCGGUUAAUUGUCCACCUUCAAAUUGUCCGUAGGUGUGAAUGUGAGUGUGGAUGGUUGUUCGUCUCUAUAUGUCAGCCCUGCAAUGGACUGGCGACUUGUCCAGGGUGUCCCCUGCCUUCGCCCGAAGAUGCUGGGAUAGGCUCCAGCCCCCCCGCGACCCCGGGAACGGGAAUAAGCGGUAGAAAAUGGAUGGAUGGAAAAAAAUGAACAUAGUGAAAAAUGUGAUCAAAUAGGAGCAGUAGACAGAAGUUUUAGCAAAGCAGAAUUACAGACAAGCUUGAAAUUACAGCAACAGAGAAACUAACAUGAUGGAAAAAACAUAAAGAGGAAGACUAGAAGAGUCGAUAGUAGAGCUAAAUGAGAACCAGAGCGGAACUAAGGCUGUGAGCUUUGUUAGAAAACUGCAAGAAACCACAUCUGGUGCGAAUACAAAGGUGCGUAAACGGAGAUUAAAACGGCUGCUAAAGUGUUGAUUCUGGGAAAACUCCAGGCAAAUAGUGUAACAUGUGAUCACGCUGAUUGAUUAUUGGCGCUUUACUGCUGAUCUGUCUGCAGUCUAUUUGGCCUAAAUCCACUCUUAAUCACAAUAAAAUUGUCUUUCACAGCUGGUCUCGCUCAAAGAGUGAGGACCUCCAAUAUGGCUGCCAGGGGCUUUGUUAUAUCACUUCACCGUCUGUAUGAGCAGUCUCCAGCGCUUAAAUUGUUUUCUCUCUGGCCUCCUAAUGAGGCACAUAUGGGAUACGAAGUCAAUACAAUUAGCUGCAAUUAACUAGCAGGCACUUUACACUGAUACUGAGCUUGAAUUCAACAGCUAAGACAAACUAAAAUGACCCGGAAUGCCCUAAAUGGAAGCGACUGCUCCUCCACAAGCAAUUUCCAAGACUCUAACUACUCACUUGGAGUAGGGAGAAGGCUAGAGACAUUUACACUGAGAGUCUCGGCCCUUUUUUUGAGGAGUUGUAGAGGCCAUUGUGAAGCAGAGUGAGUCCUCAUUGGUCCUUAUUAGUUCCACUAGAGAGCUCAGGAGCAGGGGCUGGUGUCGGAUUUACUAAAAAAAAAAAAGAAAAAGAAAAGGGGGAAGCCUCACUUGGAAGGAUUUCAGGCCAUUAGAUAAAACUUACAAGAUGUGGCUACAAAACAUGGAAAAUGAAGAUGAUGGUUGUAUUCAGUGUUGGGAGAAACUUUUAUUCUCAUUUUAAAUGGAUUUUUUUUCUUUCCCCGGGAUGAUUUCACCUGUUCAGAACCCAAUUAUGAUUGGAAAACACAGAAAUCUAUGGUAAUGGCGUUUGCAGGGUUUCUGUGGGUAAUGGACUGCUUCAUCAUCAGCGGACUAAAAAGGAAGUAUAAUGAGACACGUAAUAACAUGUUUUUCAAAUCUAAAAGUGAGGACCUUUAGUAUCUGAAAAUAAACACUGUUAGGGACCUUUGUAACUGAAAAAGAUUAUCUCUAUUUGUAAUGGUAAAUUAAUUUUUCAUUACCUUUACAGUGAUGCUUUCAAAGUGAGCAAAUCAAACGGUGACAUUCAAGUCCAUCUGCCAGUCCUAUAACCGUUCUUAAUUAGAGAUUAAAGCCCCUUUGAGGAACUUUUUACAAGGUUAUCAAGUAGACUAGAAUUAAAAUUGAUACGUCUGCACAAACAAGACCAUCACAUGCACAAAGCGUCCUCAUAAUUCUGUCACAUUGUUGGGCAAGUUACGGAAAGUAGGGCUGUCACGAUAUCAGAUUUAAUGAUAUUAUUGCAAUAUUUAUGGUACCAACACUUUUUUGGGAAGACAAAUGUUUGUUUUGCAUUUAGUUGAUUUAAUCGAGCUUUGGUUUCAGAUGCUUUAUUUCUACGAUUGAUCCUAAGUUAAAGGCCUGAAUGAAAACAGUAGAAAUAAAAAACAGUACCCUUGACAAGUAACCCAGAGGGGCAGUAGCUUUGUUGUUUUUGGAUUCAAAUAAUCAAUGUCAAUCAAUAAUCAAUGUCUCUGUUUUCCUCCCCAACCCAGCAGUGGCCUGGUGGCUGUCUAGCAUGAGUCUGGUUCUACCCAAGGUUUCUGCCUGUUAAGAGGAAGCUUUUCCUUGCAACUGCUACUCAUGUUAGAUGAGAUGGGCCAAAUCCCAUCUUAGGUUGGGUCUUGAUAAUUCAUCAACCAAUGAGCUUGGUCUAGACCUGCUCUUGUUCUUUGGAAAGCGUCUUGGGAUGACGACUGUUGUGAAUUGAUGCUAUAUAAAUACAAUUUUAUUGAUUGAUUUGAUUGAUGUUUAAUAUUAGUCCUGAAUCGUCUCGAAGGGCCACAGGUAGCUCGCCACCAGCUGGUUGACGUAACAAUUCCGAGAUGGCGCCUCCCAUCACUGGACCUCUUUUUCUCUGAAAACCAAUGAGUUGGUGUGAGGGACUUCGCGGAAAGAUGGCAGAGGUUCAGUCAAGACUAUUUGCGCCAAUGAAAAUUAUCAUUUGAAUACUUCAACAACAAUACAACAAUACUUCUAACAAUAGCAAGAUCAAUUUCCAAAUAGAGGCACAGAAGGUAAAUAAGCUGGACCAACUGAUGUACCGCAGGCGGAUUUUGGCCUGCCUGAACUAUCUCUAUCCCCAAUUCAAUGCAGUUUAGUGGAGUCUAUAAUAAAAACACCUCAGGCACAUUGGUGUUGUUGUGUCUGUGGGAAUAGUCAGGGGAUCCUACAAUGAAAGUUGGGCUUCUGCCUAUUCAAAUUAAAACCUGAGCUUACAUAAGAGUCUUUGUCUAAACAGGAGCAUGAGUCUGAAUUAGCAGGGCUACUUUUGGGAAUAUUAUGUAAAAAAAUAUAUUAUAUCACAAGGAGAUCCCAAAACUGAAGAAGCUGAGCACAAAGCUUUCACAAACCAGCAGAGACAGAGUGAAUAUGAAUCAGACGGUGAAUACCUGGAGGUCUUUUUUGUGUGUUGAGAUCAGUUUGCAUCAAAAGCUCAAAAGGUCAUCGCCAGCUCAGCAACGGCAGGAUUCUUCUGCCGUGAAAUGUGAAUAAAACAUCAAUAAAAACACUGUUUAAUUGAAAAAGUGAUAUCAUAGAUUUAAAAUGCUUUCAGCAAUAUUAGAAAAAGACGAGGCGUACACGAGUCAAGGUUGUAGUUCUUUUUAAAUAAAAGCCUUUUAAGUAAACUCUUUGGUUAUGUCAUGCUACUCAGUGGGGAUUAAGCAAACGCAGUUGACUCCACUCAUUGUUUUGUCAUUUAUAGUCUCCCUAUGUUAAAGCAUAUCCUCUCCGUUACAAGGCUGCAUCUCCACCACAACAAGCUAUUAAGAUCUGUUAAAAGUAAUGAAUGUUGUCAUUGUAGUUAAUGGCAUAAAAGCGCACAUAGAUAUGAUCUUUAAAAUAGCAUUAAGUGUCAUUUUGUAUCCCAUCAUACUGUUAGCUGGUGCAGCUUUUCCAUUAAAGGGAAACACAAAUCACUUUUUAUUCAGAAGUGCACUCCAUUUCCCUCCAGUGAGUUUUUCUUUCACUAUGAAAAGGAUAAGCUGUAGUGCCUUGCGCAUGGACACAUUAUAGAAAAUUCUAUAGAGUGGAAAUUAUCAAAAUACUUGAAAAAAACAAUUUAAAAUGCAGUUAGAGGAUUCAAAGUGUUUUUCGCCCAAACAGACUGAAGUGACCUCAGUCUUUUAAUGAAAUACCUUUCAGUAGAGUUUCCGUGGUAUGACUCUGAAAGCCCUUUGACAGUAAAUUCCACCUCAAACUUUACAAGUCAACACUAAAGUUUGACUAACAGAAUGUCAAGGUUUUACUAUUGUGCUCCAGUUUAGAGAGGCUUCACUUGCAAAUGUCAACCAUGACAAAAACAAGAUCCUGAAUAGAGAGAGACCAAUGGCUUUACAAAUCUAAAACUGCAAUCAGACGGCCAGUGUAAGCAGAUGUUGAAGUGAGAAAGUGCAUAAACCCCCCAAACACAACGUAGAUAGCUUGAGUUAUACUGUAAUGUCUCUUGGGGAUGUUUUUUAGGGUUGUAAAGUGAAUUAAAUGGAAAUUUCAACUUACAAACGUGUCCCAAGCUUUGUAAACCUCAACUCCUUACCAAAUAUGGCCUGGCCAGACUGGAUCUCCCAUCUUUAAUCCACUGAAACAUGCCUGGCUAGUUUAGUCCUUAUAUAAGAGAGUUGGAAGCUUCAAUGUUCUCUCUAGACUUGUGUUUGCACAGCUAUUUCUACCACUUCUCCCUGUGUACAAACAAUAUAAAUGCCUUCCAGGGAUGACUGUCUAAAAUGUGCACCGAGCACAUAUUGAAAUGAUCUGAUCACAUCUGGCCUCUGCCUAUGACGGACAGCUUUUCACUCUGCCUCAGAGUGCAGCUGCUCGAGAACAGCUGGUCCCUCAAGCCUCUCAAAAAAAAGGUCAAACCGCACUUCGCUCGAACUGGUUCUUUGUCUCUUUUCUACACUCACGUCGAAACAAAUACUGUAAAUGUGAAAGUGAAUGAUUUCAGCAACUGCUUGACUUUUUUACAGUUUACAUUACAGCGUGUCAGCACUUUGAGACAACAUAACAAGGAACAAUGACAGGUUAGAUGGAGGAUAGAUGUGAGUGCAGAGUUAGGAUUUGCAUUAAAGUGAUUUUUCUUUAAGAGGAGGGGGAAAGCUACAGAGGGCAAGAGUGGAAGAUUUAUCAGCACUAGAAAAAAGCCAAUUUGGAUGUUUUAACUAAAACCAAGUGGUGACCUCCAGUAAUGAAAAGUGAAGCCCUCGAGGAUCCACUUGAGACUGGCUCCAAAAGCCACUGGAGCGCCAUUAGAGACCAUGAUCUGAUGUCCAUUUUUACAGCAGAAUUUGACACGUUUAAAACCAGAUUGACUCAUUGGUUUCGUGACAAAGCUUUACUGGGGAUUGAGACGUUCCAGAGCUGGGAAUGACGUUACACCCGAGUUGACGGCGAUCCAGUAAACAAGUCCGAAGACCAAGAUGGAUGCCUACAGUUACUCGUUGUUAGCUGUUGUUGGUUGUUGUCAGUCGUUGUUAGUGGUACCAAUUGUACACAAUGCACAACUUAGUAUUUUAUGCGACAACACCAUAGCACCGAGUUCACAGUUAGACGCUGGGCGGCACAACAAAUACCACUUAUUUAAUUUCACAAAAACAAAACAGAAGUGCUAAUAAAUAAUACGUUGCGAUAGCUUUAACGGUUACUCUUCACUGUUGAUGCACUGCGUUGACAUCUUGAAUUAUGACGUUGUCUGAGUACAACUAGAACACAGCAUAAGUCCAUUUGGAAUCAGAUAUAUUCCUACGUGGCUUAACUGACAAACAACUGGCUAAUUCCAGAUUAGUCUGGAAUAGACCAGAUUCCUAUGGUGGCUAUCUUUUUGUGACGCCAUACUCGCGGUGGGGAGCUUUCAGAUUUGUAUCAUGAAGUAUUACAGUGUUCCUGGUCUUAACAGUGGUCAUUUCCCCACCACAAAAACUAUAGUUCGAUCUAUGUAUAGAUUUUCACAUGAAUCCUUCAAAGUGGCCAGAACCAGCAAAAGGAAGCUAUCCAUCUCUGUGUUGAUUGCAUGUUGUGAAAUACUGGCGAAAAUGAGGGACUAUGGAGGAUGGAAGUCAGCAGGAGCGACUGCUUUACCGGGUUGAGACAGCUGAUGUGGAUUCCUCAUGGUAGCUCCUAACGAGAGCCCCCGCAGGCUGGAAGCCCCCGGCAAUGCUUCAAGGUGACUCAAUUUAUCCUAAAGUGCUAUACAUAAGGACCACCUUGAGGAUGUUAAUGAUAGAAAAAGAGCGAGAACUCUAAUGUUUCAUACAUGGAGAUCUCCAUAUUUUAAAAGAACAGGCUGAGGAUGUGGUGUUGAUUCUGUAUGAAUGUUUCAAAACCCCCACUGUGGAGGCGGUGGGAGUCCACGAGGUGAGAAGGCAAAAUCACGGCUCAAGUUCUGCUUUCUGAAUCCCUGAACAAUCUGGGAAAACUUGGGCAUGGAAAAUGAAUGAGACAUGCUCACUCUGGCUUGAAGUUAACAUCUGGGAUGGGUGCCUGGUUGCCUGAAAUAAUUUGUAAAAUGAACAUGAUGUCUUGAAAUGAUGCUGGUACAUGCUUUACCGAGAAAUCAAGAUACAAAAACAUGUUUCUGGUGUAAAAAGUUUAUGAGGGACAUGGAGGAAGCAAAAUCAAGAACAAAAAGAAGAGCUUGGCAUGUCUAUUUUGCCUCUGAGGUAGUCCGAGUCAAGAACUUUGAGCAAGUGAUGUUAUUUAGUUUCCUGGAUUUGUUCUAGCGUUUUGGUUCUGCCAAAUUCUUCCAUUUGGCAAAGUCCACAACAUGCAAAUCCUGUACCUCUGUAGCUCUCUCGAGCAGACUAAUAUGAACAAAUGCAGAGGUGGAAUAACACUGAAAUGGACUUGGCGAGUGCUCCAGAAGGGCACACUGUCACUUUUUAUUACAUUGUAUAUACUGGAAGGGCAUCCAGGUGGCACUGUUAGAACUUUUGAUCGACUGGGAGAGCUUUUGGAGGUCACUUUUUAUUAUUGCACUUGAAGGGCAUUUAGAGGGCAGCUUCUAUCCUAAAAGAUGGCAUCCAGGCAGCACUUUAUUUAGAUUUUAUCCACAGGAAGAGUAUGCAGAGGGCAUUUUUUUGUGUUUCAUACACCGGAGGGGCAUCUAGAUGUUAAUAUUUCUACUUUUUAUCCACUGAGAGGGCAUCCAGUAGGCAGAUAGUAUUUACUGGAAAAGUACUUUAUAUGCUUGAUUAAAUCAAAGGGCAUCCAGAGGUUACUACGACUACUUUAUGUGACAUCCAAAGGGCAUUUGCAUUGGUUGUCUGGCUUUAACCUCUGACAUCUUGGUUGCAACACUAAAGCAAGUGGCUUCGAAGAUAGUGGUAUAGAUAGAAAGUUGGAGUGGGUGUGGUUUUGUAUGCUUGCCCAUGCAAAUCUCUCCUGUCAUUACACAACUAAAUUAUCUCAUUUGAAUAACUAAGGUUAAGGAUUUACGGUUCAACACCCAGAGAGCUGCUGUGCCAAAUAAUGGGUGCAGCGUAUUUGUGGUAAAGGGAAGAAAAAUGUCUUUUUUUAAUUAUUGUAUGACACCUUUACAUGCAUGAUUAUGACCUAAUGAGGGGAAACAGCAGAGUACCAUUUGUCUGGUCCCCAUUACACUGUCUGUGGGUGCCUUGUGCAGCAAAACGCCAACUAGAAAUGAAUGGGGUGAAUUUUCAGUGGGGUCCAGGUUGCACAAUAGAUGAUGGUGGCAGUUGCACCCCCACUCAGGACAAAUUGUGUCUGUGAUGAAGCUUUGGCCAGAUUUUAUCACUAACUUCUGGGUAAAAUAUGGAUGCACUUCCUACCUUUAUGUCCCAUUCCGACUCUAAUACCCGUUCUAAAAUAUCUGCUGAUGUUGAGUAUCCCUCAGCGCUGGCAGAGUUUAAAGGAUUAUAUUCCAUUAGUAUGUAUCACCUAUUGGUUUCAAAUAUGGCUGUUAAAGGUUAACUUUGUCCCUCUGUUACCUUGAAUUAAUCUCGGUGACCAUAGAUUGAAGUGGUAAAAGAAAAACAAAAAGUAAUUCAUUGCUAUGAAUCAAUUUAAUUAACCUUGUGGCCGAGACAUGAAUAAAAACCCACAUGUUCUUGAAAAUGAUAGAUUAUGUCUGUCAGUGCAGUGACUUAUCUUGGGAGGUUGUUUUUAAUGGAUGUUGGAAAACAAUACAAAGCUUAUGACCUUUAGGAGGCAAACCUUUUGUUGUUCUCGGCAAUAUGGGAACUAUACUGCAGGCUGUACUUUUUUAUGUGUUGUAUUAUUCAAUGAGGGGGAAACAGUGGUAUCAUCACAUUUAGAGGAGUGUCUGCGGUAACCUGAAGUCAACCCCAAUCCUAACUGAGGUUGUUUUUCUGGCUGACUCACCUUAACGCCGGUGUGCAUCCAAUUUAAGAAACUGUAUUGUCUUAAUAUCUGUUUGUUUAUAGUUUGUAGAACUUUCUGUCUGUGCUGAUAUUUUCUCUGAUAAUACCAAACUGCGCAGGGAUCAUAAUUGGUUUGAUAUGACUAUUAACCUACAGUCUAGACUCCUAAUCCAUAAAUAUAUUCAAUCCAAUCAAUCAGGAUACCCUUUUGGGGUUGGUUUUGUUUUGAGGUAUUAUACAGGAAAUGUCUGGUUAUACUUCCUAAAUAAAGGACAUUUGUUUAGAAUUGAAAAAGGUUUAAAUAACCUCUACAAUACCUUCAUACAAAUCUUUGAUUAAACUUUGAAUUACAACUAGAAAAGCACUCGGAGAGCGCAGACCUCCGCCAAGCAGCUCAUGUCCCCCCUUAUAUUGUGAUUCACACCAAAACUUUUACUGUUACGUGUCUUUUAUUAACUUUUAUUUGUGUUUAAACUGGUAUGUUCACUGUUCAUAAAACAAGAAACGCCCUGACCCGGAUUCGAACCCAGGACCUUCUUGCUGUGAGGUGACAGUGCUAACCACUACACCACUGUGCCACCCAUUGGUUAUCUUUCAGCAUUGAAAAUUCCAACGACACCCUUAUUUUUGUGUGUUCUAGAUCACAGUAUCCGGAGUUUUGUCUGGAUCAGGAUCAACCUUUGACACCUCAUAAAACUUCCUUUUGUGUAUUUUUUAACUAAAGACUCUGGACAUUUUUAUAGAGUUAAAUGCACAAUGAUAAAGAAUCCUUUAAAAAAUUCCUGGAUCCAGAAGGCGAUCCGGAUCACCACCAGAUGCACCUCUGGUGAAAAUUUCAGGUCAAUCCGUCUGUAACUUUCUCCGUAAAGUUGGUAACAGACAAACAGACAAACAAACAAACCAACGCUACAGAAAACAUAACCUCCUUGGCGGAGGUAAUAAUACUGGAGGACAAACAUGGCUGUGGUUUGAUCAAACUACUCAGCACUUCUCUUGUGUAACUAUGCUACUAUAUCUGCAAUGGAUAACUUGGGUCAAGAUAAAAUUAUAUGAUAUAGCAAACUCAAGAUAAACACAAGAUUAUCGUGUGUUUAAGCAAGAUAACUUAUUGUCAGGGCAAUAUUUUGUGCUCAUAAUGUCAUUUCCUUAUGCCACUUGUAAAUAUAGUUUGCACACAACAUGAAAAUCGCGUUGUAUUUGCAGUGUGUUUCAUAUUUAUUAGUUGUAGCAUUGCACACAAUGCCACGUGCAUUCAUUUGUUUUGUUGCAUUUGUUUUGGGAUUUUAAAUGCGCUCAGAAAGUUGCAUUGCCUCUGUUCUUGCAGAUUGGGAAGCUAAUUUGGCCACCCCCUUUGUUACCUGAUGGGGAAAACAAGCAUGCUUUUAUGUUUUUACUGGUUUUUGCGCUGCAGAUUAUACGGCGCACUGUGAAUUGCCGUGUCUGUGUUUACACAUAAGGCGCACCGGAUUGUAAGGUGCAUUAAGCAUUGAUUGGUUUAUUGUUGCUAGUGCGUACUUCAGGCCCCGGCUGCCUUACAUGAAUGCACUUUUCGUUUAGACAUGACAGUCAGGCAGUGUUGUAGACUGCUCAGGGGUCCUGUUACGGGGCCGAUCAGGUAGUGACCGUAUCCAUUGAGCAAAGUGGCUUCAUGCUUUUAAAAGUCGUACAUGUAUGUCGUGUAUGUAUACACAUUUCGACAGAUUUUUUAGCACACUGUACCACAUAAAAUCAGUCAGUAAGCACAACAUGUCAUCAUACGUAAGGCGCGCUGGAUUAUAAAGGCACACUGCCAAUUUUUGAGGAAAUCUAAGGAUUUUAAGUGCGCCUUAUAGUCCGAAAAAUACAGUACAUUUCAUACAUCUGAGUUAUCUUCCAAAACAAGUCAGAAAUGACCGAGGAACUAAAUCUUCUGGAUGGUAUUAAUUGGACCCAUCAGACAACCAUGGUAGCUACAGCCUCAUAUUUCGAAGCUCCAGGACUCUGCCGAGCUGCCUUAUUUGAAAAUUUGAAAAAGAAGACCAGUCCAGCUUUUACUCGCCCGAAUGAAGUGACUUACAGUCAUUAAAAGUCAUGCUGUAAGCACCAUGUGUCAUUAUCUACCCCCCACGCUGCCUUUCGUCAUGCACAUUGUAAUGCUUGAACACAUCACAGGGAACGUACUGUAUGUGCGUGUGUGGUAAAGAGCGAGCCCAGGAAUGUUAUAUAUAAAAUAGCAAUGAAUAGACAGCUGGCUGACAGUUCCCCACAUCAAGGCUCAGGCAUGAAACUGCAGCUCCAAAUGAGCUAUCGCUGCCUGGUGGCCCUGCCAUGUUCGGCAAGAAGAGGGAGAGAAAAAAAAAGCUGUGUUUCAUAUGAGUGCUGACAGCUCCCCAGAUAGACCAAGGUUAAAGCGGUGUUAAAGGGACUUUUUGGGAGGGGUUUCUAAAUCUUUGAUCAGGAUGAAAUAGCAUUUUAAGGUAGCCAGAACCUUGGGAGUAAUUGCCGAUUGAAAAAUUGAUUAUUUGAAACAUUGAAGUCGUAGUGCUAUUACUGUACGACUGAGGAUUGAGAGUGGCUAAUGUCUCUCCUGGGCCUUAAAUACCACAGAUGUGCUCUAAAGCACUUCACUGCCUCACUGAAGGACACAAUUCAUCUCUGAAUGGAAAAGAGCAGAUGAUUUGAUCCUUAAAGAUAUUAUGCGGUAAAAGCAAAGCAUGAUUUUCCUGGACUUUCCCAGCAUUGGGGUUUAAUUAUAGACCAGAACCAGCCCUCAGGUUGAUUUGUCAGCCCAUCAUAAAGGUUAACAAUAACUCCUGACUCAAGGUUUUUUUGGUCUUGUAGGUUCAAAUGCUUCAGGCAAGGUCACAUAAAACUUAUCAUAUAACCCGAUUCACAGAGAGGAGAUUUAGAAAAUUUCAAACAGUUUCCAAGAAUUUGAAGAUUUCACUCAGAUGGAAGGUUUAUCGAAUCCUCUAUCGCAGAUUUUCCUAAUAAACAGGAACUGAUUGCUUUCAAAGGCACUUUCUUAUUGCUCUUGCCCCCCAGAAAAGUGGAAAGAACUGACUGUUCAGGCUACAGUGCAUUACAAACAUGCAUGAAUCUGUGGUGGAAAUUACCACAUGGGUACAUAAUCACUUGCAAAACUAUUUUCUAUGGACACAGUUUAUCAUUAAAUCCAUAAAUGCAGGUUCGUCUGGAUCUUCUACAAUCUUGAGUUUGAUCAGGAUUAAAGUGCACAGUGAAGCACAACAUCGAGACCUUUCACCACUCACCAUAGGUGAACAAGACAUAGAGUACGUUCAGAACUUCACAUACCCCAGAAGCAACAUCUCAAAUACUGGAGACGUGGAGAAAGAUGUACAGACCAGAAUUGGCAAAACUGCAGGAGUCUUCCAAAGACUCUGGAACAUCUGGUCAUCGAAAUCCAUCACCACGGCCACAAAGCUAUGCCUCUAUAUGCCAGUGGUCAUCCCUACAGCGACCUACGCCUGUGAGAUGUGGACGGAGACAGACAGCAUCACCAACAAGUUGGAUGUCCUCCAACCACGGUGCCUCGGAUCCAUCCUAAAGAUAUCAUGGAGAGACCACAUCACCAGUGAGGAGGUGAUGAGAAGGUCAGGUGUAGCACCCUUGUCUGACAUCGUCGCUGAUAGGAGAAAGAGAAUGAAUGGACAUGUACUCUGACUGCCAAGAGAGAGACCGGCAUGUGCCAAGGAAACAGCCAAGGAAGACCUGAGCAAGAUGGGAGUCAGCUGGCAUGGAGCAAGAAGGGUCGCUAGGGACUGGAGCAAAUGGAGGGGACUCAUUGUCCAAUGUUCGAAUAGGAACGGGAGGAACUAAGUCUAAGUAAGUGAGUAAGAAGCCCUGUGCAGCAGAGACUUGAAGAUUUUCAUGGUUCGAUCCCAAAAUCAGAUAGCAAACUGCACAGAGCUGCAACACUCCAGAGAGCUUGGGAUCUGGCCCUCAGGUGUAGCAAAGGAUUUUUUUUUUGUAAACGUUGCUUGAGUGAAACAGGUCUUUGAGUAAGGGUUUAUUCUGAAUUUUUACCUAUGAAUUUACCAGUCUAAACUAGGGACUGGAUAAACACCUAAGCACAUGAGUCAUUCAAGCUCUUCUUCAGUGACGUCGCCGCCAAUUACACAUUUCAAAAGCCUCGACAGGAAAUCAAUGGUUUGCAGAGUGAAGUAUGGCUAACAACAGGUUCCUCCUAAUUGAAAGAGGCACAGCUGUGCAAUGCUACACCGAGGGCUCCUGCCGCACACUCACACCCCAAUUUGCUUGGGAUUGUUACCGCUGUGGAUAAUCAGCCUUUAGAUGAGCUGUUUCAGCAGAGCUUAUGCAUUUGAAUAUGGUAAUGAAGUCACCAGAGGGGGGCUGUAAUAAGAGCAGUAAUCGAUAAGGCAAUUUAAGCUAAACAGUGGAGUUAAUCUUUUGUUACACGUUUGACACAGGUAAUGAGUCACUGCUAUUGAGGAGAAGGGUGUAAUAGAUGGCUUUACCAAACAUUUCAAAUGAGAAACUAAUUAGCCACUGGCUGUUUCUCUUUUUGUUGCAGAAUAAUUGCUGUGCAGAGGAGUGUAAUCAGGAAGCACAUGCUUAUAUUUGCUCGGAAAGGGCAAUGUGUGCUAUUUAAGGAGUGUAUUGCAUGUCAGUGUCACAGAGAACAAACAAAUGAAGGAUGAUAAAGGGCUAUAGUACAAUAGACUUAUAAGAAUGGGGCAAAUUUACAGUAUACCACUCAUACAGUAUGUUUCCUGAGAGGGGUGGUAGGAUCAUUGUUAUUGAUAGAGAUCGGGUUCCUGCAUGUACCACCAACUGUAAGAUGCAGGUCGUCUUGGCUCUACUCAGUUUCUCAAAGCCAAGAUCCAGUCUGGGAUCCACGCCAAAGACGUCCAGGGUAUGUUCACCUUAAUCUGAUUGGCAUAGGUCCAGCUGUUGAAGUGUGGAGGUCUAGGGUCUCUAUGCCAAUAUGUCUAAAAGACACUGGGUUGCAAGUCUGUGCCUGCAGAAUGUAACUCAUGUUGGGUUGCAUGUCGUAUUCACUGUAAUGUUGUAAUAAUAUAUGGUAUCUGACUUGGAGCAGAAAGCAAACUUAUGUAAUGAAAUUGUGAAGAUCUGUGCAUAUAGCCCACUGCUUUUGUGAGUACGGUACAUCCUCUGGGCACACAUCUCAACAAGGAGAUUUUGACUAACUUGGGGGACAUAUUGAAAACUAGCCAACUAAUCUGUGGGUAUAUCUGAUAGUUUCCCCAAGCGCCAUCUCUAUCUCCAUUCCAGAUGAUCGCUCUCGUGGUUUACUUUAAUAGCACUUAGCUUCUCUUAGCUUCACUUUCUAACAAAAGUCUCCCCGGUCUCCUGCUUCUCCUGCUCGCUUCUGCUCGGUGUGUCAAAUGUUAAGUUACUCCUCAUCCUCCUUAGACAAUAACGAUACCUGCUUCAAGUGUAGUUUAUUCUUAACUCUGUAGGCGAGGAUUACUGAGCUGCAAAAGCGGUAGCGGUAGCUAGCAAGGACCCGGUAGCCAGUGCAGGUCGACCUAGCUUAGCUUCCCCCCCGGCAGAUCCCGAGCAGCCAGGAUGUAGUAGUGGUUGGGUUCCUGUAAAAGGGAAGCAUGGCAGCAGGCCUAAGAAGCCCAUGUUUGACCACCAUAUUCACAUUUCGAACAAAUUUGCCCCUCUCAGCAACACACCUGCUGAGCCCGAUGCUCUUGUUAUUGGAGACUCUCUCUGACACACGCUCAAGCCAAACGCGGGCUGUUGGCUCUGCACAUCAAACAGAACAUUAUCGCACUUCUGAAUCUCCUAACCCAAACCCUAAUCCUAAUCCUAACUUGACAGACGAUGACGUUUCAUAGUCAUAAGGAAUAACCAAUCAGAGCUCAACACUUAUAGCCAAUCAGAGGCGAAGGAGGGCGGGACCUUCCAUUACCAUCCCACAAAAGAAAAUUUGCUUCCAGGGGCCAGAGCUGGCGACAUUUAAGGUAGUUUGAAACUGCUGGCAAAGUCUAAAUGUAAAUUGACUUCCCGGCGUACUCUCGGCGCCGGGCAGUCAUUAACGCCGACCUAUUGUGAAUCUAUCAUUCAAACUGGAACUUUGCAUCUACCCUCUGGGCACCAUACAUGUCUCUUUUGAGUUUUUUUUUUUCAUCCCUCCACUUGAAUUGCUGAUAUUUGAAAGAAAUUGGUAAACAUAAUGCCAAAUUAGCCAACUAUUCAAAUUCAAGGAGUUAGGAUUCAUCUUCUGGGCGACAUGAAUGUCUGAAGGGAACUUUGUGUAUCCAAUCCAUGAGACCUUGUGAUAUUUGACUAAAUAAAUACUGAUAUGGAGGGAUCACCAACUACUUUGUGAUCAGUAUACAUCCUAUGGGCACCAUGAAUGUCUCUUUAUUUGCGUCUCUCGACUAAAAAUGUUGUCAAGUCAUCCUAUGGGCACCAAGAAUAUCUUCCACAAGACAUUGUUAUGACAACUUAUUACUUUUUGGGUGUAUCCUCUUAGCACCAUGAAUUACUCUGUUGUGAUAUUCAGCUAGAUUGGUUGAGAUUUUGUCAGUUUAGACGAGUACUUUGUUGACUUCUUUACUGGGCUCUUCCUCAGGGGACUGUCAUGAGGCAGAGUUGAACAAUAAAAAAAGAAGCCAAAGAUCAUUAUGAAUAGACUGACAUGCACACACUUAGACACACAAUGAACCAACAAGGACAGAGGGGAAGACAGGGACUAUAUACACACUGGUUAACGAGCAACAGGUGAGGCAAACGAGACACAGGUGAGGCUAACGAGCAACAGGUGAAACUCACGGGGGAUUAACGAAGGAGGGAAAACCCGGCAAGUAAAACACAAGGAAUCAACUACUGCAAAAUAGAAUAGGGAACAUUGAUAUUGAUAUAAAGAAAACUAGUCACAGAAAAUACAAUCCGAACAUAUCAUGACAGGGACCAUGAAAGUAAAACUCACUUACCAUUCCUUAGCAUCAUUUUUAGUCAUGAGAUUGUGAUAAUUAGAGCUUUUUAGUUGAUUUAAAAGCAGAUUUUUCUCGCUGAAAUCUUCACUUGUACUUCCUGACUCUUAAUUAGUUAGUUUGAUCGGUCACAUAUGCACUGUUCUGCCUGCUUUUUUCCGUAAAUCACACAAUAAGCGCCGACACAGAAGCUCAGCUGUGUCUCUUUCCUGAUUAUGUCCAUUCAAGCUUGAUGUCAGAACAAAUCAAAUCCCCCGGGGGCAAGCUUUCACUUCCUUUAUGCUGAAAUAAAUUAAGAGGCAAGAGGAGAAUUAAAGAAAAUGACAUUUUCCCUGAUUUAUGCUCUAUUAUGUUUUAAGAGGCUGACAACCUGAAACUAGGAUUUAGACGAGGACAAUAAUCCCAGCCUUGUGGAAAUUAUUUCCUUCUCGACUUUGGGCUGUAUCAUCAAAGCAGAAGUGCAAAUGCAUGCCAUAAAAGUUAAAUCAAAUGCUUUCAGAGAGGCUUUACCACUUGAUUCUGAUUCAUUAUCUUGUCUGGUUGAAUGUGUACGUGUGCACGCGAGCGUACGAGGGUGUUUUGCAGAGCAGUAGAUGUCGCUGGGACUCAGCUUUGUGUGGGCUGACAGAGGCUAAGGGUCCCAUUGUGGCACGUUAAAAGCCAGGUUAAUGCUUUCCACGCAUAAUCUGAAAGCCGGGGCAGCAGCAGUACAUCUCCUCUCAUUUAAAUCUCACUUGCUUGUGUAACAUCUUUUAUUCCUUGAGUGGCAGCUCACCCUUGUUUUGUUUUGUUGGUUUUUUUUCAGCCGCUGCUUCACACUUCAUUCGCAGUGAUAAGCAUGUUCUGUCUUGCUGCAUCAGGAAGUUUACCCCGUCUGCUUCUGAGAUGUGCUCUCACCACUUCCAGGUACUGCGGCGGAGGGAGAGGAUCCUCAUUGACUGCCGCAUUGAUUUUGAAUUAGCACCACAGUGUCUGCCUUCUGCAUUAGGAGUUCAUUCAGAUAACGAUGUGGAAAAAAACUCAGCGGGCACUGAUUAAAAUUGAUGCUUGUUGUGAGCAAGGAAAAAUGCAUGUUUCAUGUCUUUUCAGCAGGCAGAUUUACAACACCGGUCUUAAAUCCCUCUGAGGCUAACUCCUAUGAGGUAAAGUACUUGCAGACAGGCUUUACUAUUUAAGCCAUCAGUGGAAAUCCGAGCAGGCUGUUUUUAUUCUCCCUUGGAAAUUUUGAUCCUCUUGUCUGGUUGCGUUUUUUCUCCUUUGUUUAACAGAAUUUUUAAAGUUCAGUUGCGUUUAAUCGACAUCAACUCUCCAUUUUCAUUGGAUUUUACUGACCUCACAACAAAUCUGCAUUUCUCCACCAAACUAAACUUGAUUCAGGCCUUGUUAAAACUACUAAGCUACAUGUGAUCUGGUUAAACACAUGCAGUACGAGACUCAUCCCCCUAAAGGCGCCACAGAGCGUCACAGGAAGUCAUUCUUGCCGGUGGCCAUCAUCAAACUUUAUAACUCCUCCCUCUUAGUGUCCCUGGACUUAUGCUGCGUUCGAGUUACCUCGGAAGUCAGAAGUCCAACCUGGGAAUGACGUCACACCUAAGUAACUAGAGUUCCAGUUACCAAGUCGGAAGAAAGCAAAAUCAGAGGUGGAAACAAGAUGGCUACAUCUACAAAAGUUAUUUUAGCGCUUGCCUUGUCCUUGCUCAUAUUCGGUAAAGGCAAGCGCCAAAAUAACUUUCGUAGAUGUAGCCAUCUUGCUUCUGCCUCCGAUUUUGCUUUCUUCCGACUCGGUACCUGAAACACUAGUAACUUGGGUGUGAUGACAUCUGACUUCCAAGGUAACUCGAACGCAGCAUAAAUCUAAUAAAGUAAUUGCCCACUGAGCAUUUUUUGGUCUGAAAGAGGUCGAAUAGAUGUCUAAAUGUAGCCUAGACGACUGGUCUAAAAUCAGGCUACCACAGGUCUAGAAAUAAAAGUUUUUUUUAGACGUCUAACUUAGACCAAGUUUAGACUAGCCAGCUAACAGAGGUCUACUCUGUAUCAUAAUACAGUAAUACACUAUCAUAAUUAUUUUGGUUAGGGUUAGUAAGUACUUGUUGCUUUUUUAAAUAAAUAUUUAUUGAAUAAUGCGUUAAAUUGCAACGCCUAAAUUCCAUCUAAAAAUAUACAGAAUCUAGACGGUUGAAAUUUGAUCUAAAAGAAAAACUAGACGUCCUUUAGCCGUCUAUUCCUCGGAAGGUGGUAGCUUCUGUACUGAACAUGUGCAAACUGUUUGUAAACCGGUCAAUAAUCUAACAGGAAAAACCCACAGGAUCUGGAACGGCUCUGCUCCGCUCCGGCACGGCAGGCGGAUCAAAAACGCAAGCAUUAUAAUCAAUGUGUGUCAUUCCACAGAAUCUGUCCGCUGUCUGGCUCCACUGCAGAUCGGCUCUAGCAACCAGGAUCAGAUACGCAAGGGUUCUAUUUGUGCCGGACACCAGAGCACGGCGCAUCAAUUCAGUGCAGCGCAGCACGAGCAGCAGCAGAAGUUGUAUGUGGUUACAGAGUAAAAUAUCUGGUUAAUUUUCAAAAUAAAAUAAAGUCAAUACACUGAACUGUUGUUAAUUUGAUAAUCGGAGAGGCCAGGGUUAUGGGAUGUGGGUGUUUAUAUACACCGCCGUUGAUAUUCACCAUUUGGUGCAUCUCAUUCUAUGACUCCCGGGAAAAUACACACAAGCUCGUGAGAUCGCGUCCAGUCUCGCGAGAAAUAUCUGUAAUAUCGCGAGCGCUUCUCCUUUGAUGGCGGCGGCGGAUUGGAUCCAGUGGGCGCAGUAUGUUUGCAGAUCUGAUCCACCUGCUGGUCUGGAGCAGAGCGAAGUCGUUCCGAAUCUAGUGGGAUAUCCGGGUAAGAGAUCAGUUUUGUUUAGACUUCCUGUUUUUUUCUUAAAACAUUCUAACACUAAUUCUUAUAUUCUGCCCUGUUUUUCUUGCCUUUUUUAUUCAUAUUCAUUCCUUUUUCUAUUCUCCAUCUGUUAAUAUUUGUAUUUUUAAGAGCAAGUGUGAUGCUGUAAUGAUCGAUCUAUCCCCAGCAGAUGAAGUAUCCUGAUUCUGAUUUAUACAUGAAGACUUGGAGUUGAGGCAGGUCUUAAGCCCCAGUCAAGCCGGCCACAUCACUUAUUAUGCAAAACUUGUAAUCUAAGUAUCCUCAAAACUGAUAACUUGUUAAUAAAAGACCCUUUAAAUCGUGUCUCUUCUGCCUACUGUGGAGAUAUUGCUCAAAUAAGAAUUGAUACAUCCAUAAAUCUGUAGAAAAAAGUCAUUUUCAUUCACAGAGGUGCGCAGGGUCAUCCCUUCAUGGUGAUGUAACUUUUGUUUUUGGUCCAAUUAAAUCUGAAACAAGCCUUACUUCCUGUUUACCCUCACAUAAACAAACCGUUACAAAACUCCCAAACAGAAAUAGACUUAUUUGGGAUUUAGCAGGGUACCGCUGCAUGAACAACACUGUCAACACCAAUCACGGAGAGAUAGCAGCACAAACUCUGUUGUGUAAACCAUGUUUUACAGCAGUGGUUUCAGAGACCUGUCUCAAAAGUUAGACAUCAUUUUCUUUUCUUUACUUUUUUUUUAUCCCACCUUGAAUAAAAAGUAGCAGCAGAGAAAUAUCAGGAAACAAGAUGAGAGAGACAGUGAGUGACAGGGAAAAGGUUCCUGGACAGGCCUCUAGGGUGUCCCAGUGUGUGUUUUUCAGCAGCGUCUUUCUGAAAUAGGAUCUCUUUUAAAAUCAGGUCAGGAGUAUUAAAAUUAGUCACAGUCAUGAAGUGACAGGGGUUGACAGGGUUUUCUUGGAAGAAAACGAAGCGGAGGUGGUGCUUUUCUUGUCAUGCACAUAUCUGCAUGUGUCGUGUGCACACUGGCUCAACCAAAGACUUUUCACAAGCAGCGUGUUGUCGAAGUUUUCAUACUCAUAUAACUAAAGAAAAGCAAGCAAAGCUGUAUAUGCUAGGGCCCGACUGAUAUGGAUUUUUUGGGGCCGAUGCCAAUACGGAUUAUUAGAGGGGAAAAAAAAUCUGAUUACUGAUUAAUCAGCCGAUUUUUAAAUUUUUUAAUUAAGUUGUAAAAAAUAUACAUAUACUGUAGAUAUACUGUAAGCUACUGCUCUUCACACUGACAGGAAGACCGACUGAUCAAACUCGGACCAGAAAAGUGUUUUCAACUAACUAACUAACGGCUAACAGUGUAGCAAGGCUAGGAGGCUAACUCUAACUUUAGCUUGCAUAUUACAUAGUGCUUCACUGUUAACUCGGCGUGACCGAGACCAGCACAACGGGGAACAUCAUGAAGUGGGUUGAACUGAAACUUGUUGACUUAUUGUGUAUUACACAAACUGGUUUAUUUACUGUUGAGGCAGACCACUCUCCUCCUUGCGUCCCUGAACUGCCUGUUACAGAUCUGUCACUCCGCUGUGCUGUGAGGUAGUUAGUGGAUGAAGAUUGUCAUGAGGUCGCUGCGCCAUCUACAGGAUAAGUCGGGGAACUUUUCAAAUGGCGGAACAUUAUCUUAUUCUCCGCAUUUAAUUUCUAAAAAUAUUGGCAAAAAUUGACGACUUUUGGCCGAUUACCGAUUAGUCUCAAACGGGCUUAAAUUGGCAGAUUUAAUCGGCUCGCCGAUAAAUCGGUCAGGCCCUAGUAUAUGCUACAUUGAAAUGCAAGAAUUCUUGUCAUAAGCUGUUGCAAGCAAGCAAAAACCUCAGAGUUUAAGAGGUGCUGGGACUGCAGUUCCUUUUGUGUCCACUUGAGGGUGGCUCCAAAGCCCCAAAAGCCACAUACACACCCAUUAAAGGAGGCCAUCUUUACAUCAAACAUUAACAUACAUACUUACAACUUGGUACAAAUAAAGAGGAUUUUCAUUUGUUUUGAAGACGUUUAAGAAAUGAGUUUUGCAUCUUCAUUUGAGUUGGAUGACUUGAUUGACAGGCUGUAGAUGUGGUGCUUUGUAAGGUGGCUCAAAGUCCACCUCAACUCCACCUGUUUUGCCAACCAAUAAUCAAGGCCUGUCAGCAUUUCCAAUACAGCAACCACCAUUGAUCUGCUUCAAAACUGCAUGUUGCUGAUGCUAUUGUUGCUGAUUUUACUCUGAAAAGGCAAAGUAGCCAAGCAUCUCUCGAGGAGGGAGGGUGAUGACCACCUCUCGCUUUACCUUGGAUGCGCCCCUGCUAUCAGUGUCUGUGAAAUAGGUUUUUCAAUUGUUUCUAAUUUAACCAUGAUGAUAAAUUAGAAAAAAAUAAAAAAGUCCUUAGGAUAUAGUUGGCACCAUCUUCUCUUCCUCUGACUCAGCUUCCUCCGCUCACCUUGGUCAGCCAUGCUUGUAUAUGCAGUAUGUGUCAAUGUCCAAGCUAAAAUUAAAAGACUUAUGACACUAUUACUCACGUCGACUGGCAACCUUAACAAUGAGGCCAGUCACUUAGGUACGUCUGCUUCUAUUUGUCUCUUUCUUCCUCUUGGCACUCUCGCACGUCAGCACUUCCUCCCCUCGCCUGGAUUUGAAUAACCUCCCAUCGCUGCAGUUUAGCGUUCGUCAAAGUGGGGGGACAGAAAUCUUGCACUUGGCUCGGCUCCACACGUCAGGAGGAGGCUGGCUGCCCUUCAGUCAAGAAUGUGGUUGAUGUGCUGAGGGGAAAAAAAAAAAAAAAAAAAAAGAGACGCCCACAGGGAAAGUUUGCUAUCUAAGUUGAACCCCCUUAAAUCUCACAAAGUAAUUAAGAAAGUAAUUGUUACCUCUGAAAACUUUCCUUUUAUCAGAUUGGGGUUAUUAUCCAGGGGAGGUUGCUAUCACCAUUCUUUAAAAUAAUCUGAUUAGAAAACUAUUGCCUUGAUAUCUUUUCCCUGACACAAACAGCUUGUAAUAACCCUUUUUAAAAAUAGACAGGAGGCAUUUUGCAGUGAAAUACUCCCUCAAUCCAACCACAAUGACACGUCUGAGACUACAAUCUAUCUUUGGGUUAUAAGGGGUCACAUUUAGGACAAAAAGGCAUCGAAACAAAGCUUGGAAUUGCGUCUACAACCUCACCAGUCCUUGCACUUUUACUAUCACAUGUGGAAUUAAGGAUUAACAAAAGAAUAACCCAAACUUUCCAUUUGAGGCCAACAUAAGCCUCUUAGGCUUCACUGCAAUGUUGUUUUUGUAGUUUUUUGGAUGCAGUGACUUUCAUUACAGAGUCAUGUUUGUUUUCAGCAAUGAUUGGCAAGCUUCUCAUAAAAUAAAGUGGGCUAAGCUGCUAGUUACAGCCCAAUAAAUAUCACUUCAUUACAUAAAAGCUAUGCCCCGGAGAAAUGUGGCAAGCUAGGCUAAGUAGUUAAGCUACAUGAAUUUAUUGUCUGGGUUUUUUAUUUCGAUUAUUUCAAGCUAUUUGAUCGAUGAUCAAGCUGUUCGACGACAAAAGCUCCUGUGAGGAAUCUGGCGCCCCCCUGUGGACUAAGCAGCCACUGCGAAUCUUGCCCUCUCACAUGCUUGAUGAUGACUUACCCCCAAUUUCCACAGCAUCCAUAACGGCUAUGAAAAGGCCGUAUCCACGGAUCAUAACCAUUCAAGUUAAUGAGUCAAUUUCCACCGGCUUCUUUCUGUUCCGCUGCAGAUUACCGAACUUCGCAGCUGAUCGCAAGAGUUCAAUUUUUUCUGGACGCCAGAGCAUGCCGGAUAAAUUCGGGACAAAUUAACCUGUGCUGGAAAGGAAGUCAGGCACAGACACAAAAUAAAACAUUGUGAAUCGUGAACAUGAAUUUGCAGGUUCUUGUGAGUUCUUGCGAUUCCUGCUGUCCGUAAUCCACCACGAAAUUCACCUCACAAAUGAAUCUGGUAGGAAUUGGCGUACAGUGAAAAUUGCCACUGUUCCGAAUGCGGUGGACUUUUAUCGGUCCAAUGUCAUAUUUAUCUUAAGUCAGUCAGUUUCAUGACUUUCGCUAUAUUUGGAUAUUUGGGCUGAAUGAUUUAAACACCAUCAAAUUCUGUUGAGAUCCGACUUUUCUGGAGUUCAUGGUUGGAUGCAGGAAAAUAAAAAAAAACAACUCGGCACUUAAAACACAAGUAAACAUCCAAUUUUUCGGAUUUACACCAGACCCAGAGUGUCAGCCAAACCAAACCAGGGCUUUUCUUCCCCGUCUCUGAUAACCUUGACCUCACUCUUUGGCGCUUAACACCCUUGUCGGCCUCUAUCGUCGAUGAUGUUGCUGCAUAUCAGUGUCGGGUGUUAUUCCCUGCCUCUGGUGUCGCCUCUUGGGCCGUGCCUCGCUAUUUUAUCCGUGUAAUCACUAGGCAGCCUACAGAGAUCAGACACACUGUCCGAGUGAUUCCCCUCACAGGAAUGUGAGCGCUCAAAUAGCACAAACGAGUAUCCGAAAAGACGGGAAGGUGUGUGCUUAUGCGAGCGUGUGCGCGCUUUCUUUUCCUUUACGUGUGUGCAGUGGAGAGUGCGAUGAGUGGUCGAGUGUCAGAGCUGCGACUUUCGAGAGCAAACACUGCUGGCAGCUCUCCGUAGUGAUCAAGUCACGCGUCACUAAGCCCAGCGUGGAUCCGCUCUGAAGUUCAGCUGAGUUAAAAGUCAUGUGUUUCCUUUCUUUCCUUUUUUUUUUUUUUGGGACGCGUGUGUGUGCGCUUGUGAACCACAAUGGAAGAAUAGCUUUCAGUGUGUGUUUGUGUGCCUGCGACACAGCUACGCCAGGGUCACAAGGAUGCCAUUCAUAGUCACAGUUUGUGACGGGUGUCUGACAAGCCCCACAGGAGGACUGCUUGAUGUGCUGAUACAGACAAGAAUGUUUUCUUAAAGUGUUUUGCAGAGUGCAGAUCAAGGGACGCAUACUUAAAAUGCACCAGAAAAACAUUGUGCCACCACGAGGUUGUUUUUUUUUGGGUUCUGUUUGCACUCGAAAAAUAAGCAAAAGCAAAGUAUAAAUCACUGAAAAGGCUCAUGAAAUCAAAUAAUGAUGCGGCACAUUUUCCACAAUCAAAAACAAACACUAUCCGCGUGUAAAUUGUUUCUGGCUUUCACAAUGUUGUGUGUGUGUCCGCACCAUUAACUCUCUGUGAUGUUUUUAUUCAGUGUCGUUCUGCCAAGCAUAACAGAUGUGGGUCUGCAUCUGAUUUGGUAUGCGAGCUCUCUUUUUCCCAGCUGUCACUAGUGUGCCGUCAUGUGUGUGACAUCACAUCAGGUGAGGAGCGAUACUGCGAUGCCGAUUCAUCCUUGAAGAAACCUUCAUUUAAAGCAGAAACCACUGACCUUGGAGCGUUUGAAUAGUUUCUCUGAGGAAAACGUCUUAAUUAUCACAUCAGGUGUCUAAAAAAGUGAAGGUAUAUUUGAGUUUUUAUUUUUUAUUUUUUUUAACCUUCUGCUGCCAGGACAAAACCCCUGAAACACUUAAAAAUCGGUAAACAAUCAAAUUUUAAAUAUUCAACGAUCCAAUUUAGGCUUAUUGUUUCAAUCCAAGCCUGGGCUCAACUGCACCAAGGUUUUUUAUAAUUAUAUAUUCAUAUGUUAAUAGGUCAUGUAUGAUUUCCCUUUCUUUUGUUCUCUGCGGACUCUUAGAGCUCAGUGAUUUUAGCAAUGCAGCGUAACCCAGUGUGUGUCUCCACCUCAAACCAACAACAGCCUACUCUUAAGUCUGGGAUCAGGCAUAGGGCUUUCUUGAUGUUUAAAGGGCCCGUCAGUGAGACGCCAUAAGAGUUCGCAAUGUGCACUCCUCUGAUCAUCACUAUCUCCUCACAAGCCAGCUUCAUUUCAACUCUGCAUUUGCAUGGAAGUCCAAACUCAAGGUCCUUACACACCACGACACAAAUAUACGACAAGAAAUUACGAAAUAUUCAGAGGCGAAUUUUGACACGCCUGACUUUACACAUCAAGCGCGAUGCGAUUUUGCAACUUUCUUGGGGGAGAAAGACGCGUCCCGGGUGGAAGUGAGAAGACUGACCCAACAGCAGACUGACUGUUUUUCAGUUCUGAUUAGACUCUAGUGUUGAGAUGUCUGUCUGUCAUGACAGCAUGUACUGAGUCGGGGCCAGUACCAGAUAAGCACAUUAAACUAUAAUCCAUAAACUUAAGGUAACAACCGAGACCUAAUAGUGCUGUGACAGCAACAUGAUUGAUUUUGAGACAGUGAAAAUACAUAUGGUAUGUUGUAUCUGAACAGAUUAGCUUACGAGCUAAAGUUACUUAGCACAGAUGAAAGUUAAAACAAAGACGUUUAGCAAACUGUUAAAGCACACAAACCAUCGUCAUAUAAGAAAUCCGACGCUAUGACUCUCCACAAGUUGUCCUUCAGGUCGUUAUCUUUGUAAUAUUUGUGUUUUUUAUCAAAAAGUACUCUGUUCUCUGACACGUAAACAAUCAGCCGGUCAGCCAUGUUGGAUAUACUGGUGAAUCUGACGUCGCAUCAACAUGAAAUCUGAUUGGUCAGAAGUGGAAACACAGUAUGCAAAACUUUAGAAAAUUUGACCGUGAUAUGAAAAAAUAUAUGGCGCAAUAUCCAAGGAUGGGAAAACGUCGCUGAUGUGAACGCUUGUAUUGACAGGAUAUGGGUUUGAAAAAAAUGUUGACGUCCAACGAUAAAAACGGUCCCGGUGUGAAAGGACCUUAAGACGUCAUCUUAAAAAGUCACCAAAAUUAUGUCAGAAGUGGACACACAGUAUGCAAAACUUUAUUGACCGCGAUACAAAAACGGGAAAACAACACUGAUGUUAACGCUUGUAUUGACAGGAUACGAGUUCGGAAAAAAUAUUGACGUUUAUUGACGUCCAAAAUAAUCACACAAAAAAAAAAUGCUCCCGGUCUGUAAGGACCUUUAGAUGCCAAUAAGCUCUCCAUCAUGCACACAUGCAAAAAAAGACACAUGCAGAUUAACUCACACACUGUUAAAGGUCUUUCUCUAGAAAUGUCAAUUAGCUUCAAUAAUAAAAUAAUCCAGAUUAUCUGACAACAUAUAACUAUGGUCUGUGUCUGCAUUGCCAACAACUUCCCAGAACAAUCUGCAGUAAACAUAGACGUUGUGACAUUUAUUAUUUCCUGACUUUGACGUCACCGUCUCUUUAAAUAGCAGCUGUACAUGUUGUUGUUGCUCUGUCUUCAAGAACCCUGGAAUGGCCUCGUAACUGUUCUGCGAAAAGCCAAAGUAUGCAAAGUGUUAUCGACCGAACCCACAUACAGAAACUAAGCUUUCUUCUGUUUGUUAUCUCAGGGUAACGCCUAUUCACUUAACAACAAUGAGAGGAAUCCAAACAACAAAGGGAGCGAGCAGAAUUCAUGAGAAAAUAGUCCUCAUACAUACAACAUGGAGCUUCUUACUGGGUCAAAUGUGAUCAAUAUCAAGUGCUAAUCCUCUGGAAUCUUCCUCUGAAUCUCAUUGAGUUCAGCUUUUAACAUGUGUAAGCGACUAUAAAUAAGUGGUAGUUAGUUUUAAGACCUGUAAUAACCUUUUGUACACUCAGAGCAGCAGCCUAAUUAAUGUCAACGACCUGCAGCGCAAAUCCAAGUAAUAAAAUACUGAUAUAACAGCAGACUCCAAGGGGCUUGAAAGUUGCCUCUGUAAUGCCACCCACUGGUUCCCGAAGAGGCGGUGUAAAGCCCUAUAAUGGCGGGCACCAUAUUGGAAAAGCUGACUCAGACUAGCUUUCAGAUAUAGAGGUGGAACCUGAGCAUCGUUUGCGCCCACAUUGUGCAAUUUACUGCAUUUUUGUACCAUGCAAGAAAAAAACUUGAUUCUGCUCCCACUGUGGGAUCCAACUGGAGUUUCUUGGCUUUUGGGGCCAGUCUCUAGUGGAUAUUUGAGGAACUGCAGAUUUCUGCCCCUCUGGAUGGAUUGAUUUACAUUUAAGGUUUCCACAAAAUAUACUGUUAAUCUGUGAAAGCUAAAUUUUUAAAUAGCGGUAAAUUACUGUAUUUUAACAAUGAAUUAUCCGUUUUUGUGUGCAUGUUUAAAGACUCACCAUACAUAUUACCACUGACCUGCAAACUAAACAAUGUUGGAGUUGUGUUGGAGUGAAAUGUGCCACCCAAAAAGUCCAGAGGUGUUAUUUUUCAUCACAGCAGCAGCAGGAAGCAAGAAGACACUGCAACACCUGACUACAGUGUGCCAAAAGGGACAUAACAGCACAUAUUCAACGCCGGCAACCACAAUAGAGACGAUAAUUAAUCAAUGCAAAAUUGUGAAAGGGCUUUCUUAAAGUUAUCACUUGAUUUGAAGACUCCCCUUGGCAUAGCUGUUUACUCUCAUCUAUGAGAAAAUGGAGGAAUUAAGUCACAUAUACAAGCUUUAGUUCUAAACGACUCCAACAGCUCAAGCUGAUCUCUUGAAUAAAUGUACCACUCUGUUUGUGUUGUCGGACCGCAAGUACACACAGUCCACUUGUGGUUGUAAAACAGAGUAAAUGAUGUUUGGACAGUUGGUGGAGUGUGGGCAUGAGCCUGCAGAAAGGAAGCUAACCAGACAGCGGCCAAAUGUUGCACGUUGGCUGUUACAUAAUUUGUUUACAACUGUUGAAAUCCUGAUGUCAGUCCUCAAAGGUACUCCUCUACGGAUGCUUAAUACACAAGUUUACACCUCAAUCCAUGUCUCUUUAACAAUGGAGACCAAAGAGGGUUAGAAUAAAGACUUUUUUUUGAGAUUCAGAGCAUGAAAAAUUCACCAUCUGGCAACUGGAUCUAAAAUGGGACUCAGUUCAAUCCAGCCCUUGCUUCUAGGUUGGAUAUCAUACAAAUAUUUUGCAUAAUCAGAAGUAGAAAUAAUUAUUAUCUCUGUAAAAUGUGCAGAGACUCAAAGAUCAAACACCCGAGCUCCAAUUAACAUCUUUCGAAGUACAAAAGAGGAAGUAAAGAUGAAACGGAUGACAGAAUACAUCAUUUAUGACUCUGAAGCUGAUUUUUCACCAUUUGGUUCAGCCUCACAGCUGUCCUGCUGAAUACACGCGUCUGAACUCAUGAGGCUCAUUUGCAACAUUUCUUUAGGAAUCAGUGGGUAAAAGAUGAAUAAGCGAGUCCUUCACUACGAGAAAAGAAAGAGCUUUGAAGGCUGUGAAUUACAAUGUCACCAAUUCCUUAUUGCUAAAAGCAACAAGUCUAUUUGAGUAAUGAAUGAGUGUGUUCCCCCGGAUUCCUUUGCUUUCCUGGUUUAUUCCUCCUAACGCUUUUAGGAGUGCGUGUGUGUGAGGUGGGAAAGCUAUCACAUUUGUCUCUAUUGUAAACCCUAAAGCUAGGAUAAAUGAGUUUAAAUGAUAGAGUAUUUGCAUCACUGAGCAAGAUUUUGGAUGAAUGAGCCUCAGCUCAUGAUGAAAUUCUACUCCAGGCUCAGCGUAUAAUUUCAGACACACGUGGUGCCUUUGCAAUUCAAUUAUUCUCCUGGAUCACCUCCAGUGGAGGGCAUUAUGCUUAAAUUUGCAUGCAGACAGUGGGGGGAGAGUAGGUAUGGAAAACUGAAUGGCUUCAUUACGUUAUGGUGGAUGAGUCUGACCGUAUCAUGCUUAAGUCAAGGAAAAUACCUGCAGGAGCCUGGAAUGUAUGUAUUCUAAUUAGUCUUUGCUGGUUUAAAGGAGAACCUGGAUCACAGACAACUUACAAUUGUGCAUCUAUAUAAAAAAUGGUCAAAGAUAUUCUGGGGUCUAAUGCACCAGCUAUGAGAGGAGUUAAUUUUGGUGACUUUUUAAGAUGAAGUCUCAAGGUCCUUUCACACCGGGACCGUUUUUAUCGUGCAAUUAUUUCGGACGUCAACAUUUUUUUCAAACCCGUAUCCUGUCAAUACAAGCGUUCACAUCAGCGACGUUUUCCCAUCCUUGGAUAUUGCGCCAUUUAUUUUUUCAUAUCACGGUCAAAUUUUCUAAAGUUUUGCAUACUGUGUUUCCACUUCUGACCAAUCAGAUUUCAUGUUGUUGCGACGUCAGAUUCACCGGUAUAUCCAACAUGGCCGACCGGCUGAUUGUUUACGUGUCUGAGAAUACAGUGCUUUUUGAUAAAAGACACAAACAUUACAAAGAUAACGACCUGAAAGACAACUUGUGGAGAGUCAUAGCGUUGGAUUUUGUCAUAUGACGAUGUUUUGUGUGCUUUAACAGUUUGAUAAACGUCUUUGUUUUAACUUUCAUCUGUGCUAAGUAACUUUAGCUCGUAAGCUAACCUGUUCAGAUACAACAUACCAUAUGUAUUUUCAAUGUCAAUGCCUAUCUGGUACUGGCCCCGACUCAGUACAUGCUAUCAUGACAGACAGACAUCUCAACACUAGUGUCUAAUCAGAACUGAAAAACAGUCAGUCUGCUGUUGUGGGAUGUGUCUUGGUUGUAACUUGGUUAACAAAAAGUCACAAGAUGUAAGUUUUUAUGAAAUCGACAGUUGAAUUAUAAUAUCUUGGUCUAGUUGUAGUUGAUAAAAUAUUAGAUUCAUACAUUCAAACACCAUUUCACAAAGUAGAGGUAUAGUAUUUGGUCAUUCUAAGACAGAUCCAUGGACUAAGUCACUUCUUGUCGUCUUGGGCAGUCUCUUCACUCAAACCAGUACUUUUGAGGAAAUUUGAUUUGGCUACAAAAAAACUCUCUUUUAGCAACACAAUUAUUCCUCAAAAUUUGUUGCACCUCUGCUGCCUUUCCUCCCUAAAGCGCAUUUUAAUUUGGUAUUCAAUCACUUUAAUGUUGUCUGUUAGGAUUUUUCUACUCAUCACUAUGGCAACUACACAAGUAUUAUUGUACUGUAUUUCCACAAACUUUACUUUUUAAGGUUUGUUUACCUGAAAUCGACCUGUUUACCUUGGCUUUACCCGUUCUCACUUUCAGGAGGCUUUAUUAGGGUCGCAAAACCAGGUCCCUUUUUGAAAAAUACUGUCGCCACGCAGACUUAACGAAAAGCGGUGAACUUCUAAACACACUCUGAACUUUUAAUAGUGUGUUUUUUGGGGUCACUGCGCAGUGAGGGGAGAGGCAAUGUGUCACAGUGUGCUCUCAAGUUGGGCUGCGUCCCGGAGGAUUCAAUAUUCCAUUAGGACUAUUAUUUCUAAAGUAGAUUAAUCCCUGUCAUUUAACGCUUGGCUGAUGUCCAUUUGAAGUCAUUAUGAAGAAGCACUGACAUUGUUUCAUAAAUUAUUCACAACAUUAUCUGGGACUCUGUGCAGCCACCAAGCAGAGCUUAAGGGCUGGAUCGUUCGCCGCUGGAGGAAAGCGUGUUCACCUUGAUGAAUUGAAUAGAUGGAUCAUUUUCAACAUGCAUGCAGGUGCAUUUUAGGACAGUGCAUUUGCUUUGUGGGGCGUUUUGCCGUUUGCGUGUGUUGAUCACGAGUCGAUUCGUCAGUUUGGAUCUCCACAGUUAUGGGCCUUAUGGGACCUUUAUAUCCUCCAGCUAGGAUACAGAUUUAGAGCAGCUGCAGUAUUAUAACCCAUUGUGUGCAAAUUGAAGCUGUGGCUGCAAGACUCAUGCAUAUGAAUUCCCAAAAAAAAAAAAAAAAAUUACAACAUAACUGCUGUUUCUACAUCCUUGCAUGAGCUAACUAACAAUCAAUAUGUUCCCUAGCUGGAUACAUUUGUGGCAUCAGCUUGAAUACACUGUAUUUGAUCUAUUCUUAUCUGCGCCUCUUCCCUGCUGCUGCAAUAACCCAGUUCCCCACAGGGAUAAUUAAAGUUUAAUUUAAUCUAAUUUAGGAGGUGGGUUUCCUUUAAAAUUCAACACAGUAAAAAAAAAGCUCUAAUGCUGGGUCUGCUAAGUAAUUGUAAGGGAGUAAAUGGAGCAAGAAUCAGUAAGGGAGUGCACACGCAUUUAUUCUCUGUAAUGACACCAAACCUGUUUGGAUAAAAGAUUUCAUGCCUGUGCAUGAUCAGCCCGUCAUUACAAAACCAUGUACUUCAAGUCAUGUUUUCCAGUGUAAUAUAUCUGUCAUCACAUCAUUUAACAGCUCAGUAUUAUUAUUUACGAUAAGGGUUAGGUGUUGUUGUGGUGUGAAAGGAUUAGGCGAAGGAUCUUUAAGAAUUUGCAUAUUUUGAAACAAAUAAAAGGACAAUGAAUGUAAGUAUUGUCAGGGUAAAAGAAGCCUGAUCUAGUGUACACCUCUUCCCAUGAAACUCCACCGUUUUCUAAAGAAAGUGUUGCACAACUGUUGUUCUUUCAGCGCGGUUAACCCCGGCGCUGUAGUUCUCUAUCAGUCAACCUCACAAUAUAAGAAUUGAGCUCUUGGUUUUAACUGCAAAGCCAAUACUGAGUCGCCUUAAUCCUCCGUUCUUUACGAGCUGCGGUUGCAAUAACAAGUCAGUUCAGAAAAAACUUUAGAAAGCACUCUUUAGCUGUGAAAGGAAUUCAUUUGAAAAAUUAACCGGACAUUGGAGCUGCUUUUUCUUUUUUUUUUUUUUAGCACAGAUUUAAACCUGCUGUAGGAGCCGAUGGUUUUUGGCUGAACGCCAAAUGCAGCACAACACAGAGUAUGAUGCACAAGUGCUGAGAUAUGGGUUACUAUACUGAUUAACUUAGCCUUUUCAUGGAGUUUGAUGCCAAUUAUGAAAAGACAGAAUGCAUUAGCCUUAUCCUAUAAAGGGCACUGGUGGAAAACAGGCCAUCCAGCUGCUUGUGUCCACUCUAUUACACUUCCCCUAUAGUGUAUAAUGCAUCAUUCGUCCUUCAGCUCGCCAUGACAUGUGCCCACUAAGUCCCCAAAGGGAAUCUUCAGUUAGUGUUGUGUUGUCCAUGAACAUUUCAUUCAAAAGAAUUGAACUGCUGAGUGUAUGACGUGAACUGAAUCAGCCCGAGACCUGAUUCAUUCCUUUUUCAGUUCAGUUGCCGGUCAGGAGUGGAACUGCCGCCUCUGACUCUGGCGAACGACACACAGUCAGCGAGCUAGUAGGCGGAGUCUCAUGAUUCACUCUCAGCGAAUGAAUGAUAUGUAUCAGUCAGUAGAUGAAACAGUCUGUAAAUGAUGUGUAUCAGUCAAUGAACAAAAUAGUCUGUAAACUACACGUCAGUCAGUGAAUGACGUAUCAGUCUGUGAACGAAACAGUCUGUGAACGAAACGACAGUCUGUGAACGAAACAGUCUGUGAACGAAACAGUCUGUGAACGAAACGUCUGUGAACGAAACAGUCUGUGAACGAAACAGUCUGUGAACGAAACAGUCUGUGAACGAAACAGUCAGUGAACGAAACGACAGUCUGUGAACGAAACAGUCUGUGAACGAAACAGUCUGUGAACGAAACGUCUGUGAACGAAACAGUCUGUGAACGAAACAGUCUGUGAACGAAACAGUCUGUGAAUGACCUGUAUCAGUCAGUGAACAAAACAUUCUGUGAAUGACCUGUAUCAGUCAGUGAACAAAACAGUCAGUGAACGACAUGUAUCAGUCAGUGAAAGAAACGUCUGUGAACGAAACAGUCUGUGAACGAAACAGUCUGUGAACGAAACAGUCUGUGAACGAAACGUCUGUGAACGAAACAGUCUGUGAACAAAACAUUCUGUGAAUGACCUGUAUCAGUCAGUGAACAAAACAGUCAGUGAACGACAUGUAUCAGUCAGUGAACAAAACGUCUAUGAAUGAAACAGUCUGUGAACGAAACGACAGUCUGUGAACGAAACAGUCUGUGAAUGAAACAGUCUGUGAACGAAACAGUCUGUGAAUGAAACAGUCUGUGACCGAAACAGUCUGUGAACGAAACAGUCUGUGAAUGACCUGUAUCAGUCUGUGAACAAAACAUUCUGUGAAUGACCUGUAUCAGUCAGUGAACAAAACAGUCAGUGAACGACAUGUAUCAGUCAGUGAACGAAACGUCUAUGAAUGAAACAGUCUGUGAACGAAACGACAGUCUGUGAACGAAACAGUCUGUGAAUGAAACAGUCUGUGAACGAAACAGUCUGUGAAUGAAACAGUCUGUGACCGAAACAGUCUGUGAACGAAACAGUCUGUGAAUGACCUGUAUCAGUCUGUGAACAAAACAUUCUGUGAAUGACCUGUAUCAGUCUGAACAAAACAGUCAGUGAACGACAUGUAUCAGUCAGUGAACGAAACGUCUGAGAACGAAAGUCUGUGAACGAAACAGUCUGUGAAUGAAACAGUCUGUGAACGAAACGUCUGUGAACGAAACAGUCUGUGAACGAAACAGUCUGUGACCGAAACAGUCUGUGAACAAAACAGUCUGUGAAUGACCUGUAUCAGUCAGUGAACAAAACAGUCAGUGAACGACAUGUAUCAGUCAGUGAACGAAACGUCUGAGAAUGAAAGUCUGUGAACGAAACAGUCUGUGAACGAAACGACAGUCUGUGAACAAAACAGUCUGUGAACGAAACAUCUGUGAACGAAACAGUCUGUGAACGAAACAGUCAGUGAACAACAUGUAUCAGUCAGUGAACAAUGCUGUGACUUCAAUGAACGAACUCGCGGCUGUGUCACUCACUUGUGUUCUGCACCGGCAGGACAGGGCUCCAAAGCACUGACUGAUUCAGUGAACAAAUCCUUUGAACAAAUCCUUUCAGUGAACAGAUUCUUAAUAUUCAGAACAGUCAAAAGAACUGUUCUUCCCAUCACUUUCUUCAAUGGAAGACAAGAAAUGAACGUAAAGUAUAUUUAUCACUCUCUUCAAUGAUUUUUAGAGUUGAGCAGCGUUUUCACGCUGAGAAAAAAAAGGUAAAGGUGAUUGUAGCGUCUGAUCAGGACUGCUCCCCCAGGAGAGAUUUAAGGCAGGUCUAGCUUCCCAGGGCACUAUUGUGGCAGAUCCCAAACUCGCUUGAAGGUUUCUUUAUCUCUCAAACCCCCCCUUGGGUUUGUGGUUGAAGCUGCCCUGCUUAGUCUGCUGCCCACACAGCUUAGACCUGGAAGAGCAAGCCAGGAGUGAACAGAAAGAUGGAGCGCUGCCAAAGUCAAUAGAUGCACUUUUACUUUUUCGUCUAUGCGUGUGCAGGCUUGGUGUUUUGUUGACAUGUAAAGUAAGGAUUAAGGGCACAAAACCACUGAGUAAUUCAACUUUUACCGACAUACAAACCGCUCAUUCUAGGUCGAGAAAGAUUGGCACUUUUACUACUUUUCAUAAGAUGUCAGGAUCAGUUUAAUUUGGUUUACGUAACACGGUUUGACUGACGCGUUUCUUUAUUUUGCCACUUGAUGUCUCAAGACACCUCACAGUGCGCCCUGACAACUUGGCACACUGUUUCUACCCUGAAUAAAGCGAAGAUGAUGAACUUUUAUAAGGCUGCUCAUUCGGAAGCCACGAAACAUGCUGGAAGACCGUCAUCUUUUGCGAUAAUCUCCCAAUGUCUAUUUUUUCUUUAUCACUUAAGUCAUACAUUGAUUUUAUCACCAAGUAAAACAUCUGAUUCCUAUUUACUCAUGCAUUCCAUUUUUUCUCUACCGCCUCAAUCCUUUUCAGGGUCACGACUGCAUCAGCUUAAAAAAAAUACAUUCUGUUGAUGCUGCAUGUGGUAACCAUCCACACCCAAACCAUUUUUUCCCCAAGGCUGAAUUUACUAGGUCAGGAGGAUGAAUUAUGACGGGCUUCUUUUGAAGUUAAUACCCCAAUAAUUGACUUUUUUGGACAAACAGAACACACAACUUUGGAUGAAAACCACCCCUAAAAAUGUGAAAGUAAUGCUGCGUUUAUUGAUUAUCUCCCCCCUGAAGCUAGUUGUGAAACCAACAUUCACAGCACACAUAAAGAAGCAUUAGAGAGGAUUUAUUUCGAGCUAUUUUAAAGAUAACAGUACACUGUUCGCUCCGUCUUUAGUUUUCCUGUUUUCCUCCCAAGGCGUCAAGUACCCGCCUUCGCCGUCUUAUAAAGAUGCACAAGAUCCUCUUAUGCAUCAGAAUCGCGGCUUUCAACUUGGUGUACUGUAAGCCUCUCAGCUGCAACAUUAUGUGCUCAUACAGUCUGCUGUUCGGACAUUUUCGAGCAAAGGUUGAGGUCAAUGGGUCAGCCUUUAAAAUCGAGGAUCAGCAGCAAAGCUCUGGGUAGAAACAAGGUGGAGGUCGAAUAAUAAACUUUAAAAACUUUCCAGACUUUUCUCAGGGAUUUGAUUUGAUAUGCUGCGUGUGAUCCGGUUGUCCCCGGAGCUGAAGAAAUAAUGACCAUUGUCAAUUAGAGCGUAGACUCCAUGCAUGCCUGACUGCAAAAAUAGCAUUUUGGCACGACUGCAAACAAAUAAACACAUUUAAAGAUCAUCACACGCUCACCGGGGUAGAGGAAAUCGGUUUCAGUUCUUGAAUAUGAGCUUUAAACGUCUUUGAGCUUUGAAGUUUUCCUCUUAUACAGAGGGAAAUAGGCUUGAGGAGAUCAAACUGACUCAUUAGUUGUUGCCUGGAGGUUGCCAGAACCGGGCAACAACAGACAUUUUAUGGGGGUGCAAAUAUUUUUGGAGAGUACUGAGAGGAAUUCUGCCUCGAGAUCUAAUAAUGGAAACAGAGAAUAAAACCAGUCGUGUUUUGGUGUGUUAAAAAUCCUGAAAGUCGCCGUGUAGUGACAUCAAUCAACUGUUCAAGGAAUAAACUCGCCACUUGGAACUCUCAAGUCCAGUUGGCUCCAAGUCAGUGACCCCGUUUACAUAGGUCCAAAAAUCCUAUUUACAAUCAGAUUGAAAGGUCAAUCAGAUUCAAAAUGUCGCAUAUAAACACCUUAGCCAAUCUGAUUCACCCGGAUCUGAUUGUAUUUCGGGUCGGAUUGUAAGAGAUUGAUAAUCCACUCCAUGCUUCAUAUAUACGGUUGAGUGGAGUGGAUUGGGUUCACAGAGAGGCUUGUUCGGUCUGCGCAGGCGCUCGGUAUUACGUAAGAGGCACGUAGUGACGUACGCAGAGUGCGCCCAAACGAAAACAAACAUGGCGAACAAACAGAAAAACUGAAUGGUGGAGUGUUAAAGCGUACACUUCUUGCUGUGUAACCUGGCUGGAUUAUACUUUUAUUAAACUUCAACACAUGGGUUUCGUUACUCUGCUCGGUCUGGUAACUCCAGCGGUGUCACACACAAACACGUCCGUGCGCAACUCUAAAACGGAACUAAAAUAAUGGUUCCUAUUAACAAUUCCCAUUGAUACAAUACAAUACAAUUGGAUUCAGCUGGGGCCAUAAAAACGCGGACUGAAUGUGGAUCUCUUUACUUUAAGUUCAUGUAUACAGAUGGAAUCAGAUCAGAACUACCCAUGUAAACGGGGCCAUUGAUUCUUAUUAGCGGCUUCGUUCACGAUUUUCUAUACAUGCUAAUUUAAGUUGAACUUUACCCUCCCAGAGUAAUAAAUUCAACCCUUUUCAACUCAACCUGUCACCAUUUCCCCUAGAAGAUAGAAACAGGCGCCAAAUGACUCCAAGCACCUGUGGGGGGGUUUAUGUGCUCAUGUCAAAACUCCACAUCUCAACCGGUGACAUGUGCACAACAAAACUUUCCCUUGUAACCCAGGCACAAACUGACACACCGCGCCAUCUCACAACUCAUUGCCCUCCUGUUCACUUCAUCUGUCAUCUUGCGUGCACCUUUCCCCAGCGGCAGUCUGUCAACAUUUGCUUCUGUUCCUUGUUUUGUCUGACUGAUAAAUGUAGAUCUGUUGUUUGUGCAAGCGCUAAUGGAUUCUAAUGAAGCAUCUAUAAUAAUCUGUCAAGCUUUCUAGCCAGUGGACACAAAGACACUCAAUCUACGACAAGUCCCAAACCUGAGGCGCGGAGGAGAACACAGCACUCAGGCGGCAUGCGGCAGGUUGUCACCUUACAUUACCUUGUGGGAAAUUAUCCAAUAAAAUAACCUCCCACUACCUCCUCUCCUACUUCCCUUCAAAGGAAGAUAGUGUUACGUUGUUUUCAAGCAGCAGUAUGUGAAAUUCUACUUUCAUAAGUACUGCCAAGGACGUAAAGAUGUACCAGUGUAAUGCAAAAAAAAUAUAUAUAUAUCUGCAGUGGUGCUUAAACUAUCUUAUAUUGCUUCUUAUAGCAACCCUCCGGACAUGUCUGGGAGCUGUGUGGACCAGUUUUUAAAAGGGAAAUGUUGCCCCAUCCUUGCUGGAUUAAAGAUUUAAGCUGCUCAAAAAUUCAGGGUCUCUUUUGUCGUAUUGUUUAUUGCAUGAUACGCCAAAAGGGGUGAGGUCGGGACAACAGCCUGGCCAGUUCAGCAUUGAAUGCUUCUGCUACAGAGAUGUAGUGUCGUAACCUUGUCUUUCUGAGGUAUGCAAGGUCUCCCAGGUAAACUGUACAGGCAAGAUUGGAGCAAAUGUUGCUCUAAAACUUAUUAAUAUUUUCCAGCAUCAAUGGUGAAAGCUUUCUUUGUCAAGGUCUUUAGACAAUAUUUGUGUGUUGUCAACAAAACACAGUUUUUCAAAGGCCAAUGGCGAUGCCAAUUAUGAGAGGGUAGGUGGACUGAUGACUAACAUAUGAUAUCUAUAUAUCAACCUUUUUAUAUAUUUAUUUUGCCAACAGUCUGGCACUUUUAAAUUUUGUUGUACUUAUUACAAUGACAAUAAAGGAGUAUUUAAUUUAAUUUAAUUAUUUUGCUUUGGUAAAAUACAUUUAAUAAUCCAAACAAAUUUCUGAACUUGAGUGAAAUUUUAUAAAACAAAUGUGGAUAAAAUAAUAUUUGUCACAGUAAAAUAUCACCAUAAGAGACUUUUGCAUCCAGCUGGUGAAAACUGUUGAGAAAGAAAGACAAUAUAAAGGUAAAUAUUGUAGUUAAAAUAUUUUUAAAAAGUCAGAAAUUCCCAUGCAGAGUAAAAUCUAUGUAACAUACAAACUUUCUUAGCCAAUAAAAUGUUUGAAAUUGAUUUUUAACAAAUCAGUGGAAAGACAAAAAGGUUUUGGGCUAUGCUGUCUAUACUGAACCGCAUUAUUCUACGCAUACUACAACUCAAACAGUAGCCUUUGACUACUCAGGUUUGAUAUGCAGAUGAUGAGGAAAAAUAGGCUUUCAAUUGGAGAAGGUACUAGGGAUAUCAACCUUGUGAGGAAUGAGGCAAAAUGAUGCUAAUUACGUUAAAAUUGCCAUUAAUUAUCAAACUAAUUAAUCGGUCUAUCUCGUGAUUUUAUUCAUUGUUUUAGUGAUAUUAUCUACUGCACAUGAUAAAAUUAACAAACUUAUUUACUUUGAGGAACAUUAUUCUAAGAUGUCCCAACUAUUUGCUCAUGCAGUCUCUCACACAGUGGUAAACCUAUUCCCAUUUUAAUCUCUUCAAGCCUCAUCUACUAAAAAAAGUUAUUUUCAUACCCUGUCAUGUUAAUAUUAGGUUUUGUUUGAGUUGCAAACCAUGAAAUAUGUUUUUCUGAAUAUUUCACACAGAGUCCAAACUUUUUUAGAAUUGUGGUUUUUGCACAUCGAGUUAAACAGAAUUGCUCAAGUGUCUCCCGUCUUUUUGGAAGUCCUGCCCCAGUUGCACAGCCUGAGUAAGUCCAUAGCCACGUGGAAAUAAUCAGAGAAGCCACCAUUGAGUUUAUAGCUUAGCCGCAACUCAAGAAAACUGCAUUACACCCCCUUUAACAGAACAUUCUCAAAUCACAAACGUACAUUAGGGCAGUAUACAAUGGCAUGUACAGUUUGAAUACACUUUGAAAUGAACAUAUUAUAAAGCAUAGUGAGUCAACUCCAACCUCAACCUCAUUGGGCACAGCUCUCAUGAUGACAAUCUUGAUAUCUUCCAUUAUGAUCUCUCAAGGUUGCCAACCCACAUGUGCAUUCCUUGAAUACCAGGUUACCAAUGAAAGCAACCAAGCUGAACUCAGUCCUACUGUACUGAGUGUAAUCGUAGAGCUGCAAAAGGUGGAACUUUCCAGGGUGAGAAGCGUUUAAUUUUCAUCUAAACCCAAACUCUCUUGGUGUUUCGUCCUGUUUAUGUGCUAUACUCCCCGAUCUUUAUUGAGAAAUCUCCCUCAGCCUUUCUGUUCCCUCACACAUCUGGGACUGAUAUUCAAAAGCAUGGAAACAGCAUGUUGAGUCUGUUUCAAGUCAUUCUGUCUGGCCUGGUUAGCAAACUGUGGUCCAAGCCGCCAUAUUAUUAUCUUUUUUGAUCCAUCUCAAACUGUUUGAAUUAGUGUUGACCCAGAAUCGGCUGCCAGGGAUGGAGUCUGUGCUGAUGUGGAGCCACUUCACUAGAUUUGGUGUUCCUGUGCUUCUUGUUUCUUGCAUAAAUGUUGAGGUACGGAGACCAGAUCUUUUGAGUGACACGUUUGAGGCGAGAACAGCUGUUUUUUAUUCCCAUCUGUGGAGAAAUAUGUCAGGAAAAAGAACGCUGUAACACAGCAGUGUGGAUGAUACUAGUCAGCCAUGAAUUGCAUUUGUCAUUGUUAGCUUUGAUGGCUGGUACAGUCAGACAAUCUGGCUGUCUGUGUAUCCAUCCACAGUACUUUAAUAUACGUUAGAGGCAAAAUCUCAUCACAUCUCACAAGGGUUAGUGAAAUGUGAAAUGCGGAUGUUCGUCCAGGCAGGCCACAAAGUCAAACUCAGCUCUUCAGAUGAUCCUUAGCUCCCAUUUUUACCAAUCUGGUUUUGUGCCUUUUUGCAAUGGAGUCAAGAGUUUCUUGGCUUCCUAUUACAGCGCUGACUCACACUGGUGUCCGGUAUGUGACAAACACGCUCAUCUGCCAAACUGACGAAGAGGCAUUUGGCCGCCUUGCCACUCCGAGUCAACCCAUGAUACAUCUUGUUUGUUAACGUCAGUUGGCAUCUUGGAUCCUGGCUUUGGCGCAAGGGUUUAAGGACAGGCCUGCAAUGGUGCGUGUUUUGGUCUACUUUAUCAUUUUUUAGUGGAUUAUGGGUAUACAGUUUACACCAUGCGCAACGUGCCAUAUUUUUAUAUUUUAAGUAUCAUUUUGGGACAAUUUUGCCAUUACGGAGAAGGCUACAUCCUUUCCACCUGGAUAGGGUGCGUGCUGAAACUGCUGACCCAAACGAGCAUCUCAUUAUGGAACUUUCUGGAGGAAGUUUGCAACUUCUCAAUCUGUACAGAAACUUUGGAAAAGCUAUUUUUCAUGCAUUGUUCAGUCAAGUUUUCGUGGUAUAUUGCUUCACGGCUGAGCUGCAACACUUUGGCAGAAACUUAUUGGGACUCACGCCAACAGAAAACAAAACCCCAAAUAAGAGCCAAGUUACUAGUUGUUUCCAAACAUCCUAUUACACUCUCACUUUUAGCUCAUUUUGGUGCUUUGUGGAUGUUUGCCAGAUUUCUUUUGAACUCAUGAUAAUUAUGGUUGUGACUUUGGCAACUAAACUCACCAUGCCUGGUAAUUUGAUUGCUAUAAAACAAUGAGUCCUGUCUGACCAAGAUUAACUUAACCUAUAAACAACAACAACAACAACAUAAUACCUUGGCUUUCCACAGAAAUGCUGAUCAGCUGAUCUCAUUAUUGCAGUUUUCACGCUACCCAAUUUCCCCCCCUUCUUUUUUCUUAUCUUUGAUUUCAAGGACGAGUCUUCUCUUCUUUCAUAUGCAAACAUUAGCAGAAUAAAGGCUUGCCAGUGUCAUUGAGGCAUUAUUCAUGUAGUUUUAGCUCCAUGUUGGGCUCAUUAUUGAUUUCUUGAAGUGGCACUCCUCCAUCUUGGCGGCUGUACGCCAACACCGGAGCCUUUUGUCUCGCCCUCCAACAAGCAUUCCAGUCCUUCAGCUUAUUCUAAGGUAUUUAGAUUAUAUAUUUAUAUUCAGGAGCAGAGCUUGAAGUAAGCCUCCUUCCUUAUUAAGGAGGGUAACCUUCUUCCUGCUGCCAAGCUUCUUCCCAAUUACAGCGACUACUGCUGAUGAAAUGGCUGUGCAACAUGGCGACUUGUCAUUUGGCCAAUUAUUCUUAAUGAAGCGCACAGACGGAAGGAUAACUGUGCUGUGCCAUGCUGUGUUUGUAAUAUCUGUACAGGGACAAUCAUGUUAAAUGUUUUAGAUUCUACUUGUCCAAUGCUUUCAGCGUUUUCCAUCAUUUCCACAGCCUGUGGAGCCUAAUCAGUCAUAUUAUAAUGGCCUCUGAAGUGGUUGACAGCAUGAAUUUGAGAUAUUAAAGAAUUAACGCAAUUUCAAACUCCUCUCAAAGUAGAAAGUAUUGACUGCUUAGCCUGCUUUUUCAUCGAUAUCUCUAGUUUUGAUAAAUUGUUUUGUGUAUUUGCUCAAAUUCAAGCCACACUUGAGAUGUAAUAGAUUUCCUCCAUAGCAUUUAUUCACCCAGAGAAGAUUCGCCGAGCAUGGGUGCUCUUCCUGUCAAUGCGAUGCCUCGCAUUUACACAGUGAGACACAUUCACAGCUGGGAGCUGCUCAGCACAGCCACUGUUUCCCACUCCCGGCCGCUGAGCAGCUCCACUGGAGCAUUUAGCAUUUAAGUGCCUUUUUCGAAGGUACAUCAUCAGUCGGUCUGGGGGGAUGAAGAGAGAGAGCUACUUAUUCACUUAUAGUACGCCUCGAGCAUACUGUACGUCAACUUUCAAACCCCUUUAAUGCUUUUAUUUAACAUAUCGUUGCUUUUCCUGCUGGUGCUUAAGUAUAUUAUCCUGCCUAAAUGAAGGCUUACGUAUGACAAGUACCCUGAGGAGUCUAAUAUCCACAAAUUUGAAUAUUAUGGAUUUCCAUGUGGUUUUCGCGCGGUUGGGUGGUUUCAUGUAUGGAGAUGCAUGGCAACACCUGAAGGUGAUGUAGUGUCACGAACUAGAGUUAAAACAAAAGGGAAAGGACCUAAAUGCAGACAACAAAGGAUUUAUUUAAAAAGAAUUAAAUUUAAAAGAAAACAUCAAAAACUGUCUUUAAAAUGUCCAACUAAAAGAUCCAACAAAAGACACUGGGGAAAAAUUCACAAGGAACAACAGGGGACACAGGCAUAUGCGCACAUCGACAUACGAUGAACCAACCAGGACAGAGGUGAAGACAGGGACUUUAUACACACUGGUAAACGAGCAACAGGUGGGGCUAACGAGACACAGGUGAAAGUCAUAGGUGACUAACGAGGGAGGGAAAACUAGGGAAGUAAAACCAGACUAGAAACACAAGGAAUCAACUACUACGAAAUGAUAUGGAAAACACUGAAAACUGAUCUAAAGAGUAAAACAUUGAGAAAAGGAGGGAAACAAGGUCAAACACAAACUGAAAACUCACAAGACUGGACUACAGGGGAACAGGAACAAUCGGAAAAAUACACAAAAUGCACUCAAAUAACAAAAUUAGGCAAAAACUAAAUCAACAGAACAAAUGACGUGUAGUGAAGUACAGUAAAACUUACAAUCCCUCACUGCAGAUAUAGACAAACACCAAUAUAAUGACGUUGCUGUUUUGUAACCAGUCUAAAGCGCCAGAAAAAAAAAAACAGUACGAAGACUGCUAAAACCUUCUAAACCUUGUAUGUGUGGUUGAAAUAUAGCAAAAUCCAGAGAAAAAAAGUACCCAGUACCAGUCCUAUUGACUCCAUGGAUUUGAGUUUGAUUAGCGUACUGCUAGCUUGUGUAAUAUUGAAAACAGAUGGUACCAGAUAGAGCUACACGGCUGCACAAAAAACAAACAUUGCUGAGCGUUGAAGCAUAGAACCUUUGCAACCAAGCACUGAACGAUUCGAUGAUUCAAUGAACGAAUCUUUAAAAUGGAUAUUUUUAGUGAACCAAAACUAUGGAAUAAUCUGGAUGCAUCUCGAAAAUCAAUAUUAUCCUUUAAAAUAUCAUUGAAAUCUCAUAUAAUCAUGUCUUAAACACAUCAUUAUUUGUUACAAUCAUGUUUCUUUCCUUUUUAUGUAUCCUCAUAUUGCUUCUAUCUCUGGUUGAUGAUUAGUCUAUGUUCUAUUUAUGACAAUUCGUAUAUGUUUUGACCUUUCCCUACUCAUUUUAUAUUUAUAACCUGUCUAUGUCUUAGUUACUUUGUUGUUUGCACCCUAUGCCUUCACUGCCCUAUCGGAUUCAUUCCCUCCUUGCACUGUUUCUAAUCUGUGCUAAAUAAAAUAAAUAGAAAAAUAGAAAUAGAAAAACCUGUUCAGUGAUUCAGUACAGCUAAAAGAACUGCUGCGCCCAUCACUAUUGCUUUGGCCUACAUUAUGUUUUCAGCAGAGGCAGUAACACACACUCACAAACAGAGAAUGACACUAUGUUGAGAUUUGUCUUGCAUAUUGGUCAUGAAGCCACCACUCACCCAAGUCCCCAAAAUGUGCACUUAAUAUUAGGAUUUGCAGCUAUAUGAUACACAAGUCUUGCUUUUUGCUGUGCGUAUACUGCAGAUGCUUCAUUUGCAGUUUGAGCUUGCAGAGCAAAAAACACAGAUUUCUGCAAAGAUGGGUAUAAAACAGUCAGUGGAAAUACAGAAAGAUUAAAAAAAAACAGACAAAGAAAGGAUCAAGGUGUUCUUACUCAGCCGGUUUACAGCAUAUUGCAUCACUUGAUCAGUACUUUACUUACAGACAGUUCAAACAAUAAACAAAUUGUGGAUGGAAGUCAUCAUCCUAUCACUGCUGGAUCAAAGGAGCUGUAGCUCUUCAAUUUUCGAGUCAUGAAUAUUCAACGAGGGGCUCCAGGUUGGAGACACAAUGCAGCUUUGUGUGAAAACAGCGCAUUGUUAAGAAUCACAGAACUCCAUUUUUCGGGAGCUGCCACAUGAAAUAAAACUUUCACCAGUCCUGUAAAUCAAGUUGGGUUUUUUAAAGUUUCAGUAACCGCAUCCCGGUAUCUCCGAGGCAGCUGGAAGUUGUUAGGAGAUUACGAUCUGUCUAUUUUUAUGAUGACAGUUCUCACCUCCUCUUUGUUUCUGCACUGCCUACAGCCUCUCAUUCUGAAACUCUGAAAACUUCUACCACUACUGCAGGUUUUCUUGGAAUAAUCAUCUGAUUCUCACUGAGUCUGGGGCUGAAAUUUCUUUUACUCGCUAUAGGGGAUACAAACCAAGGAUUUAUUGGUUAUAACGUUUCAAUUUUUGCAGCUGUAAGUGGUUGUGCCAUUUUUCAAAAGGGGCAUUUUAUCUUAGCUUGUCACAUUCGGUCCACUCAUUAGGAGAGGGACAGCUCAGUUGUGUAACGCCUCCUGCGUCUCCCAGGGAGCUUUGUCACGUCUGGCGAAAUUGAUGAUGUCAUCUGGUUAUUUCCGCUUGUGCUUGAAGACACAUUUUUAACAACUAACCUACAUUACAAACCGAGGUCGUUUUGUUUGAAAGACAUGGGAGUUAAUGCAGAAUGCGUUAUAGGAAAUUGAGAAUCUAACAUGUUUGAGCUAAAGCAGCAGAGGGGACUGGACGCCACUGUAUUCAAGCACGCACUGAGUAAUUUUUGACCAUUCUUGUAAAUCCUCUCUGAUGGACCCUUUUGGGCUAAUGUCACAGUGACAUCAAGGUUUUAGCUGAAGGCUGAACAUACAAAACUGGGAAACAUGAAUCACCACCACAGUGUGGUUCACAGGUGACACAGGAGUCUAAAAAUGGCAUCUCAUUGUGUUGUUGGAUACCAGAUUGGUAAUAUCCUGAAACUGAAAGUCUUUUAUACAAUUUCAGCUGAUAUAAGUCAGAAAGCAGCAUUUUCCAGGCUCAAAUAUGACCUGUAUCACGGCUGUAAUUACUUUUUCAAAAGCCCGUUUUGGUCCCCUGCAGUUUUAACCAUCCGAAAACAAUGUUAUUUGACGCUAUAGCAAACCGAUAUACAUCAGGCACUAGCACCAAGCGGCCGCUCAAGCCUCAAGCGAGAACUGGUUUCCCUCGGUUUGGACCGCCCACAAUGUCCUUUCAUUAGCUCUGCUGCAGGGCGGCUUUUUUGUGUGAUUGGCUAUCGGUCAUUCCAUGUCCGCUGGACUAGUGUUUUGCAAGUUGCUUUUAAGAGUCAGUUCGUGAACAUCGCUAUUCGUGGAUGUAAGUUUACAGGAGGGCAGGGUCCUUUUUCCCUCCAUAACGUCGCAUUCAUCAUCCCUGUAUCCCCUCUGGCCGUAUUGCCUCCUCUGUUACUGUGUGUGCAAGAUGUGCUGUUUGCUAAGCUAUAUGUCUCAACAGUACCCAAGUUACAUGCCCCCCUCCACCCUACCUUUGAAAUCAAAAUUUUGUCCCCACAAGUUGGCAGUAUCAGCAAGACAGUCAGCGUUCAGGAGGGUGUGCACCUGUCAGCCAUUAACAAUCAAAGCGUGAGACUCCGCCUCCAUUGAGAAAGAGAAAAGCAAUGCCCCAGCCUUGACAUGUCCACUACUCAUGACAAUAGCGUGUCAUUUCCCUAAAAGAUCCUCAACAUCCUGUGCUGGUAAACAGGACCAGAUGGUUCCUCCUAUGGGACCACUUUGCCUCACUAAAACAGUCGCUAUCAAAUGGAAAAUUCAAAGGUCAAGUAAAACUCAUUUUGGUUAGAAAACCAACAGGCAACACCUCAGAGGAUACAGCAAUUUCUGCAGUUUGAAAGAAACUUUGUCUUUGUUUCAUUUCCUGUGAAGAGUUUGCAAUUUUAGAUAAUGAUCCACGGCUGAAUAAGGAACAGUAUUCAUCUUUGCGGAAAACAGCAAUCAAUUUAGAAAUGCAAUUUAAAAAACUGACCUCUCCAAGUCCCAAAAGGUUUGUUUUCACCUGUUCCUUUAAAGAUUUAAUUGAGUAGAAAUCUUCUUUUCCUUUCAUUGCAAUGAAAAAGCAGCCUUGCCGUUGUCUGUAUUUACCUUUUCAAGCAUACAGAUGAUUUUUCCUUUCAUUCCGACUGAAGUUAACCCUAUGUUGUGUUGUUGUGUAGCACAGCCCAUGAUGUCUAAGAAAAACUGAUUGUUUAUUCAGAGAAAGAUCAGGUUAGGGCAGAAAGGUGCAAAACAGAAAGUAGAGUUCAGCAAAAAUGCAUUCAAAGGUCAGAGAACAAUGUAGGCAGGAAAAAACAGAAGAGGAGGCCUCUUCUGGUGUGGGACAAAAGGGCAAAAAGUUGAGGCAGAAAGCCAGGUGAUGUGUAUUCAGGGAAGUUUGGGCUGAAUUAGGAGGAAGUUUGCAGGUAAGUCUUGGAGUCUGGCAGUGAGGAGAGACCAGACGUGACAAGGACUCCUGGAGGAUAGAGAGUAAAGACGGAAUCGAUUUAUGAUUACACAUUCACAACGAGAGAAAGACGAGAUCUAAAUGGACGAGCCUCAAUCACAGAAAGUAUUCAUGGGGAACUUGACCUUCCCAGUUGGUACUUGGCUUAUCUUCUUUCAAGCCCCAGUGUACAACAGAGUAAGUUGUUCUGUGAAAUUAUUUUAAUACAUAGAAACAACCGCUCUCUUUCUUUGCAUCAUCAAACAUUGCAGUGUGUUAUGUUAGACACUUGUUACCCCCAAUUUGUACUGCAUCCGGAAUGGCUACGAAGAGGCCGUAUUCGCUGAUCGCAGCUGAUCGUAACCAUUUAAGUUAAUGUGUCAAUUUCCACCGGCUUCGGCAGACUCCGCAGCCGAUCGCAAGAGUUCUAUUUUUUUCAGAUGCCGGAGCAUGCUGGACAAAUUCAGCACAGAUUAACCUGUGCUGGAAAGGAAGUCGUGCGCAGACAAAAAAUAAAACAUCCGGCUUCUUUUCAAAAUAAAACACUCCGUAUUUCAGGUAGAUCGUAUUUCACACCAUGCAAACAGGCAGAGACGAACAAGUAAGUGGAUUUCCUCCUCUGGAGGGACAUAAUCUACUGCUUAUAUGGUUAGCCUCUAUGGCUAGAGACAACUUGUUAUCGUGCAAUAAGUUGAAUCCCCAGGUUCUUGUGAGUUCUCAUGAUUCCUGCUGUCCGUAAUCUGCCAGGAAAUUCGCCUCAUAAACGGAUCUGGUAGGAAUUGGCGUAUGGCGAAAAUCGCCUCCGUUCUGGAUUGGAGCCAUUCUGGAAAUCCCGGGUUACACUGCGUUCUGUCAAGUUACAUUCUGUUACAUUGUGUCCUGCUUAUAUGCACUGUUGUGUUACACUUUUUAACCAUGCCCCAUUUUGUUACAUCCUGUGACACUUGAUUACGUUUCGUUACAUUAUGUAACAAUGUUACAUCCUAUAAUGUUCGGUAACACCCCAUCAUGUUACAUCCUGUAAUGUAAUCUAUAGUAAUCAUGCCUCCGAAAUGUAACAUCCUGUCAUGUAACACCUCAUAUGGUUUUGUCCAGUUAUGUAACAACCUCUAAUGUUGCACUCUUUUUUGUUACACUAAUUGUAACAACACAACCUGCAGCGACAGCCUGCAGUUACAGUCUGUUACAUCCUGAUUUUUUUUGUGAUGUCACAUUACAUCUUGCUUUUAGCACAAUUGCAUCAGAUCGCACUAUGUUACAUCCUGUUACAUUGACUUCUGUUAUGUAACAUGUAAUGUUGUGUUACAUUAUAUCCUUUUCAGUAACCUCCUGUUACAAAACAGUCUGCAACUCUGCACAUUGUUUUGUUUUGCCUCAUGAAUAUAACAUCCCAUUAUGUUACUACCUUUUCAGUUUUGCCUUGUUACAUUCUAGCCCGUUAUGUAACAUUUUUAACUGUCCUGUUACACUAAAUCCUCCUUCAAAAUAUUGUCAUGUUGUGUCCUAAUAUGUUUGACAGAAUUCUUUUUCAUCACUACCCAACAUGUCCUGUUACGUAAUGUCCUUUACACGUUACAUUAUAUUAUGUUACAAGCAGAGCCAAAGACAACUUAAGGUCUGUUUGUGUACUUCUGCUGAACUUUACACAAAAUUAAAACAAUAAAAGGUUGUGAAUUAUUUACUUGUCUUAAUGCUUAACAACCAUUAUGGCAGGGAAUACAAAAAUACAAACACUUGAAUAAUAAAUGUGAGCAUUGCUAUGAACCUAGAAUCACAAACAGAGUUAGAAGUAAGAUUUUUAGUAGUCAGCUUUAAAAUUUUGUGGUGCAUGAGGAAUUUUAAAAUACCCUCUGACUUGACACUCAGCAAACAUACCAAUGUGGGCAGUAGUGGACUUAAUUUUAUUCCAGUGUUAGAUGUAGAGAGAAAAAAGUGUCAUGUUAUAUUUGAUAAUUAUUAUCUUUAAUAUUGAUUGUCUGCUAAGUAAUUGUUAAUUCGCAGGAGUCUGUGACUAGAUCUCUUUGAUUUGUUGGCCCUCCAUCUUUAGACGUGGAAAGGAUUCUAACAUCAGUCCUUGAAAAGUCAUUGCUUGUCACUUGCAAAACAAUGGCUUUGUCCCACCUUUGCCUCUGGACAUUAUCUGCCUCUCAACAAACAUCAGAUAAUGAAUGGGAAACCGUUCCGUCACUUUCAUGUAAUACCGCUUUAUAGUAUUUUUAUAGAGCAGAAUUGUAGAUCAUUUCCUUUUUCACAUCUUAAUGACAGGCUAUAAUCUGAGAGAAAUUAUAAUCACCCCUUUCUGGAAACAAAUAACUCCUCAGAUAGAGCGCCAUAAUGCACUCAAAUUACAUUACAGCACCUUCCCUUGAAAAGCAAAUCUUGUCUAAAUAGCUUCAAUUAUUUUAAACUGCGCUGAGUGUUUGUUCAGAAAUUGCAUUUGCACAAGAAAUGAGGCAUCGUCGGGCUCAAGGACAUACACCUUUUGAAAGUAAGUUUGCUCUCCUUGGGAGCCGCUUUCACUUUAUCUAAAUGCUUUAGAAAACUACUGUAACUGCAGCAAAGUCGCUCCGUGUGUGCUGUCUUUGAGAGUAGUCUUAAUUAGAGUGCCAAUUGGAAGGAGACGGUCCAAUGGUUGAAUAUCCGCAACAAAGAAGUCUAUUAUUUCAAAGCGAGACCAGUGUGUUUCUUUAAAACUUCCAGCUGGAAUAAAGAGGAAAAGGCCUUUUUACUUCAACUGUUUGGCACCUUUUGAAAAAUUGGUAAAUUUAUUCCUUCCAGUCGUGUUCGAAAGCCAGUCUGCAACAAAGAUCAUCCCACCCACCCGCACGCGGGCACACGCAUACAAAAGGCACAAAAACCGCUUGUGCGAUACCACCCACUGAACAGGACAGCCGCGCGCAGGCAUGCAUGCACACGCUCACCCACACGAGCGUAGACAGGCAUGUACGCGAAGGCGCCCACUCAUCCGCACGUAGGCAAAUGUGUGUGUGCACGACCAAUCAAAGGGAAUGGUGGGCACCGCUCAGCUUUCAGGUGGAUUUCUUUAAAUUCACAGAGCAAAGAGAGGACAGGCAAAAGACGUUAUGUAUAAUCACCUCAUUUUAAAUACGUAUAUACCCGAAACGGAUAAUCCCAAACAGUCAUAUUUAACCGUUAUAAGGAACACAAUGUGGGAAAUUUUAAAUCUCAGUGACAUUAGAGUGAGCUUUGCAGUGGACAGAGGAGAGAGAGAGGAAAGGAAGUGGGAUUGAAGCGAGGAAGAAAGCAGGUAGGGAUGACCAAACGCCUGAUUUUCCCUUUUAUUGAUUUCUUCCGCCGCUCCGCGUGCCGUAUUUAUCUUCCGGCUGCACGCUGACAUUUACACAGGCAGACAUACAGUACAAACACACAUUUAUUACCAGCAAAGACCUCUUGGACAACCUCCAAUUCUUUGAAGCUUCCUCCAAACCUUGUCUACUUCAAACUAAAAUGCGUACAAGUGUGACUCGGUUUUAAUGUCCAAUAGUGGCAUGAAAUUGAAAUCUUUAAAGGUCAUUACCGGGCCGGCAGUUCAGCUGCCGGUACUUUUUCUUGGUGCCAAUGUAAUUCAUUUCACUGCGGGGAAAUCUGCCUGCCCAUUCAGGAAAAUAACACAAACAUCGCACACAGGUAUUCGGAUAAAUUCAACAACAGGCUGCGAUGGCGUACAGCCCUGAAAGUGGCGAAUGCCCCUGAAAGCCCUCAAAGUGGCGUCGAAGCAGCUGAAUAGAAAUUCUUGAAAUAUCUGUCAUAGUUGCUGGAAGUUUGCAACUCUCACCAAAGUGAAGGCGCUAUUGAGCGAAGUUAUUCACAUUACGAAGGACUGAGUGACUCCAUUUCUCUGCUCUUUUCAAAAGUCCUUCAACACUGUUUGUGCGGUCGACAGUCAAGCCGCCACAUUGUGUCUUUGCAUAUUCAGACUCUUACUCUUAAAAAUGAGCCUUCUAGAAAUGUUGAAAGAGCCUUAUUAAACUGUAGUUUCUUAUUUAUAAAGCAAUCAGUCCUUGUCUUGAGUGAAGUGCAAGAUUUGGGAACUGAAUGUUCUACAAAAGUCAGAAAAGUCACUUUUUUUGCAAUAGUUCAAGAAUGACUUCGAUUCUUUUGAUCUGCUUGGAAAAAGAACCGGGGCUUCACUGCUUUAAAAAUUAAACUCCUACUUAAUAUCAAAUACCCUGUUGAGUAGGGGGCUUACACUUUGGGGAUUAUCAUUAUCAUGAGAAAUGGAGCAUCAGCCAGUUUUAACCUACAUUUGUGGAUGAUGUGACCAAAUGUGUUCACAGUAAAACGGCUUUUGAAGCGAUUUUGAGCUCAUGCGGUGACCUCCACUGCAGAGUCAUGUCUAUUUUUAAUGUAGUGCAGCAGGAGAUCAUAACCAUCAAGUAUUCAUGUUCAGAUUUGUGCAGACAUAUCUCUAGAGUCUCUGAUAUUUUGUACCAUACAUUAAUGAUAACAUUUAAUUGUAUGUUUUAAUAGAUACAAAUGGAUGAUGAGAGUACGGAGCAGUCUUCCCGCUUGACUUUAAUUUAAAAAUACAAACGGCCAUAAUAUACAUUCUCCGACUGUGUGAGUUUGAGCUUUGUAGCCAAAAAAAUUCAAUAAUAAAUUUGGUCUUUGAGGUUAAAAGCUUCAUCGAGGGCAGAAAAGAGACAAUGAAAAAUUAAUUCCAGUGCAGCGUCUGGCUCCAUCACUCCCAAUAGCUUAUACAUUAUUAUUUAAGCAGCAGACUGCAAUCAAAUCUGCAUCUCUAUAGUGUAUUUCAUUCCAGCAAGGCCCCGUUAUAUCAAGAAGGAUGGAAGUGGAUGCCAAUAGCAAAUGGGCUUUCUCUUUUAUGGACUCUCCAUUUCCCCGUUCCAUGGAUGUUUAAGAGAGCUGAAUGCUAAUAAGAUGGCGCCCAUCUCAUCCCGAAGUGAGAUUCUCACUGGAAACAUAAUGCCAGAAAACUUCCACCAAGUCCUCGAGGCCUCUAUAUCUUUUCUGGGCCCUCUUUUGGCACCGAGAGUAUGAGCACUACAGUCCAUUGAGACUUCGAUGAGUGAUUUCCUCUUGGCUCCUUUCACACAUGAAUAGCAUACAAAUAACUGAUUGAUGUGACCCUUUGAAAUGGAUCUGGUUGCGCUGGAGGAACAGAUUGUUCGUGCAUAUGCUUUAGAGUGUAAUGCAAUGAAUGACAAUGUGUAAUAAUGCUUUUUGGCUCAUUGUGUCUCACUUUUUUUUUAUCAAAUUACAACUCUGUCCAUGUGUUGGAUCAGUUUGAAAAUGCCGACUCAUGGAUAGUUGAAAAAUGUGGAAAUACUACAUGUGAAGGUUGACGUUUAAAAAUGUUAAGUUAAGGUCCUUACACAAUGGGAACGUUUUUUUUUUUGUGCAGUUAUUUUGGACGUCAAAAAUUUUUUUUGGAACCCGUAUCCUGUUAAUACAAACGUUCACAUCAGCGAUGUUUUGCCGUCCUGCGAUAUUGCGGCAUUUAUUUUUCGUAUCACGGUCGACGUUUUAAAGUUUCACAUACUGUGUGUCCACUUCUGACCAAUCAGAUUGUGUGUUGUUGCGACGUCUGAUUCACUGGUAAAUUCAACAUGGCCGACCGGCUGAUUGUUUACAUGUUGGAGAACAGACACAAACAUUACAAAGAUAACGACCUGAAGGACAACUUGUGGAGGGUCACGAUGGUUUGUGUGCUUUAACAGUUUGUUAAACGUCUUUGUUUUAACUUUCAUCUGUGCUAAGUAACUUUAGCUCGUAAGCUAACCUGUUCAGAUAGAACAUACCAUAUGUAUUUUCACUGUCUCAAACUCAAUCGUGUUGCUGUCACAGCACCAUUAGGUCUCGGUUGUUACCUUACGUUUAUGGAUUAUAGUUUAAUGUGCUUAUUAGGGGGUUCAUGUUUACCCCCUUUGGCACCCCUUCAUGGAUUUGCAGCACCUUCUGAUUUAACUAAUUGGGUUCUGCUAAGAAAGUUGGAAACCACCCAAAUUGUUCUUUAGCAAGACAUAGACAAGACGAGUAGGCCUAUCAAGUCACCUAACCUUGAGUGGGAGUGGGAACUUAGCGGGUCAAAAUGGGUCAAAUAACAAGAUUAAAAGGUCCAAAAUUACCACAAGACGUCACACUGCUGAGGAGGGACAGAAAAACUGACAUCUUGGGUUGAAAGUAAAAGGUUGGCUCGCCCAGGUAUGUUCGACUAUUUGCCUUAACUGUCAAAACGUAAAAACUUUGAAAAUGUUUGGCUUCAUACAAAACGAGUGGCUGUACACACGUUCUCUGCUGUGUUUUCUGUUUCCCAACCACUUCUGCCUUGGACACUAUUUGUCUGUAAGUCAUGUAUGAAUAAUGUUGCCACUUUAAGACGGUUUUGAGUAUAUUAUGCGAACUGACUUAUGUUUUGUUUCAGUUUUACAAUUCAAGGAAAUCAAGUUAAAUACAUGAAAAGUCAAGCCUUGUGUUGUUAUUGGAGGACUCCUAAGAUGUUACCCGGCUGUCUAGCUUUGCAUACAAGUACACAGUACAGUAGAAUUGUACUUCCACUUCAUCAUACUCUUGAAGCAGUACUAUCUAAGGUCCUAAACGCUCUCCAAAGGACCCUCAAUUGGUCCAGCACUUGCAAAUAAUGAGCGUUUAGGGGCGACUACUAAACUUUGCUGUUAUACCUGCUUGAAUAACUUUGCCUACACAGAUAAUGUAACAAAAUCCUCCUAUCAUGUAGAAAUGUGUGCAUAAAUAGUACAGUAUAUAUAUAGAUUAAUUGGAGGGACUCUGUGUUUCAAUCCCUGAGCCUCUGCUCUGCAAAUGACUUGCGUGGGAUUAUUCGAGGAAAUAAAUGACAGCUAGGCGGCUCACCUGACAGCGCGCUUUCUGAGGUGAGAAAAUGUCUCGUAUUCACUCAUUGUAGUCUUUAGUCUAUCUCCGUAAUAAGACCCAGAGAAGGUGCCGCAAUCUAAUGUGCCGAAACUCCAUAAUCAACUCUCUGGUUGACCUACAUUUGAUUCGUCCUGGAGAUCAGGAUCAGACUUCCGUAUCAUCGGUUUAAGCUUCUCGGAAUAUCUUGGCCGUCAAUCACAGGACAUGCUUGGCCAAGGCAGGCUCAGACCUGGAUGUGUAUCACGGAUAUUUCUCAGAUAGUCUCUUGGCCACCAAGACAGUGUCCCUUCAUUUCAGCCACAGCCGGCGCUCCAUUUGGCGUACUCGGCGAACCCUUUGAUUACUGUCUUGCAUGUCUGAGUGUAAUGAAUUUCCCUGGCAUUUACUCACUGCCAACAGCACUACCUAAUUCUGUAACCACCAAUGUUUGUCUGUGUAUGGUCUGUUGUUUUUCACUGAGUCUGUUGUGCAGUGGCAUUUACAUCUCAUUUCAGGAAGUCUCGACACACUGCUACUUCUCUUUCCAAUCCUGUGUGACUUCAGUCGUUACACGCCGCCUUAAAUGUACGCUUUUUUAAAUGUUUUAUUUUUGUAGUAAUUGUGGAGAGUUGUUCGCUAUCAGCACUCUUUGAAGGCCGGUUCAUGAAACUUCGAAACUUUCUCAAAACUCAAGAAGUUGUUGGAGAACGAGGCCCUCUGGUCUUCAAAAUUGCGCACUUAAUUUCACUUGAUUUGCAAGAAAAAAUAUGGAAUAAAAACACUUAAGUAUUCAACAAAACAUCCUAAGUGCUACACAUAUAUAAAUCCAGACAAUCUCAGCAAGGUUAACUCAUGUUUCAUUAAGUAAACUACGUUCCUUUAUACUGCGCUGUUACACUCAGAGUUAGCAGUUAAAAGUCUUGUUGGGGUCCACACGGAUCAGGGAUUGACCAUCGGAUUGUUCUGUGUUCCUGAUCAAUCCAUAACAAGGAAGUAUUUCUCAUCUACUUGAACUUGUACACAGUAAGGGGUCCGCAUAUGGUGUUUUAUUUUGAAAUACCGGAUGACAUGAACGGUUUUAAUGCUUGACUUCCUAUCUAGGACGAUCUUCUCUGUGUGGAUUGGCGCGCAUUGGAAGCGUAGAGCAGCAAAAUUAGACUCGCUGCGUAUCUUUAUUUGAGCUGCUCUCGAUACGCUGGUGCCACACUCCAAAUACGCGUCCUGUAUGUUUAAACCUUAACACCUAAAUCCCAACAUCAGGGAUAAUUUACAGAUUUUAACGCUCUCCUUUCUGUAUGUCUUCCGUCGUUUGUGUAAUUUCCUUGCAAUGUCAGACACUGUUAAAACCUCUAAUUUGGAAAAAGUAAGUAAAUUCAUAACGCCAUGUAUGCCACAGUCACUCGUGUCAUAUCCCACCAUGACAUGGAUUUUGCCCUACAACUGCCGGGUCGAACAAGCCUUCAUGUUUUCGCACAGACAUUUUUGGUUCGGCUGCACAGACGACAGUCCCUGAACACAGAUGCAGCCACAGUGAGGGGUACAGGAAAGCAGUUAAAAGAGUAAUUGGUGAGUAGCAAGAAUGUAGAUUGGAUCCUGGUCUUCUUCCUGUUCCGCUCUGCAUCUUCAGACACUUCAGAGCCCCGUCUCCCUCCCCUCUCUACCACAGUUAUCGGGCAAACUUGCGUUCUUAUCUCUCUAAGUUUGAUAGCAAUUAACAGCGCUGCGGGGCUUUGUAACUCAGUCACGAUGACUUAGAAGUCUGUUUCAACCAAGUACUCCGUUGUCUUGAAGUGAAAAUGAUUAAAAGGAGCAGGCUUUGACUCAUAGUUAAAGCUGUGACAAUUGAUAAUAUAACGCCUCAGAAUUUUGCUAAUUGUAGCUCCACUGAAGUAAAUUUAAUAAAUCGUUAGCUUAAUUUUUCUUUUGUUUUUUCAAAAUUAAAGGCUCCCCAUCCAGAUGCCAGAGCUACUCAUGAUGUGGGCGUGUAUGCAACACCAAACCAUCAUGGCUUUUGAGGCAUGCCAGGUAGUCCCUCUCUUGGCAUCCAUGAUUUCCAAGAAGAAUGUUAAAGGCAUGGUUGCCGAUUGGAGAGAUUGGUUAUUAUUAUGAACCUAGUUUUUAUGGCGAUCAUGGUCCUAUAGUGCGAUCUCCACAAAGUGAAGAGAAAAAAGAAUGGAAAAAAUCUGUUCACCCUAGCAGGGCUGCAAAAACACUGACCAAUGGGAGCCAGCUGUCCCGGACAGCUCCCAUUGGUUAUUCUACUGCUCCGCCUCUUCAUCCAAUCACCUCGCUGUAUUUGACACACCACCUCCUGUAGUUCCGACUCAUUCCCUCCCACUCUCUCCGGCUGAACCGCUAAAAGUAGCGUAGCAGCUUAGCUACAGGAGCCGUGAUCGAGAAGGACCCGAAAGAACGAACACUCCUGCUUGCCCCAUCACCAAAAGUGGAGAGAAAACGCAAGCUGACAGAAAAAAGGGCAGAGACGAAGAGGAAAUUUGACCAAGUGAGGAAUCUUAACCCGAAAAAACAUGGGGUCAUCCUUCAAGCGGUGGAGAAAGCUUUGACUGACACAACAGCAGACUGACUGUUUUUCAGUUCUGAUUGGACACUAGUGUUGAGAUGUCUGUCUGUCAUGAUAGCAUGUACUGAGUCGGGGCCAGUACCAGAUAAGCACAUUAAACUAUAAUCCAUAAACGUAAGGUAACAACAGAGACCUAAUGCUGCUGUGACAGCAACACGAUUGAGUUUGAGACAGUGAAAAUACAUAUGGUAUGUUGUAGCUGAACAGGUUAGCUUACGAGCUAAAGUUACUUAGCACAGAUGAAAGUUAAAACAAAGACGUUUAGCAAACUGUUAAAGCACACAAACCAUCGUCAUAUGAGAAAUCCGACGCUAUGACUCACCACGGGUUAUCCUUCAGGUCGUUAUCUUUGUAAUGUUUGUGUUUAUUUAUCGAAAAGCACUCUGUUCUCCGACACGUAAACAAUCAGCCGUGGAGUACAGAGGGGAGAGGUUUGUGUGUGGGGGGGUGGAACACUUUUUCCAAAUCUGCCUCAACAGCUCAGUUUUUUUCAACUGCUUCUCAGAUCGUCAACCAUGUCUUUAAAUUUUGAUUCAAAGAGCGGUCAUGAGAAAUUGCUAGCAAACGUAGCUACCUCUUGGGCAGCACAUAGAACGUCAAACGCAUCGCUUUCCAUAUUUAACACCAUGACUGCCUCCUCAACUUCAGAUUUAUAUUUCUUCAUAAAAAGCCACUAAAUGAUGAUUUUACCGAGCCUGUUGUCUGUGAGAGUGUGAGAAUACAUUUAUUACAGGAGGUAGUGUGAGUUACAAGCUUCAGCAGAGGCAGCUCGCUGAGAGACGCUGAUGUUUUAAAAUAGCCUGACUCACGAGGAAGGAGAAAGACACUAUCUGUCAGAUCAAGUGCGCUCCAUUAGAAACCAUUAGCUUUCAUUUGUCUGUUUUUCUUCUCCUAAGGGGCUCUUUCCACACACCCAAACUCCCCCUCCUCGCUGGAAAAACCUCCCUUACUUGACUCCAGGGUGCAUCUUUGUGCAUCUGCAUGACAUCAGAGAGUCCCUCAUCUUUGUUUUGCUCUAUCUCUAUGUCUUAUUCAUCUGUUUAUGUUUUAAUAAACAUGACAUGAGCGCUCUUCGGGGCCAUUUUGGGUAUUCGGGUUGGAAAUGUUUUUGUGUUUGUUUCAAUUUUUGGAAUUACUGCUGUUGCCUAGCAUCCGUAUCAAGGUUUUAUCCGGCUUUGGGAAAGGUAAAGGGACUCAUUCUUGUAAACAGCGAUGACGUACGACAACCCGAACAUUUGAAUAUCAUAUUUUUAUUAAGUGCGGCUAGAUUUUACCCCCCUCCAGACCAGAAAAGCAUGUGUGUGUCUAGCGGUGACAAAAAAAACAUGACUGCACUCCUGCUGAUGGAGUAGUUCCUUUCAUAAAUCAUGAGUACAUCUCAUAACUUCAAGACUCUGGGAAUAAGACGCACAUUGAGACGGCGUCUGUGUGUGCGUGCAUGUGUUUUCCGUCUCCAGAUUGAAUUCUUAAUCUUGCCAUUCGCCGUUUCAUCAGUUGUUGUGGGAAAUGAUGCAUCACUCCCUGGAUGUCAGAUAUAAUAACAAUACUCUCCGAUGUCAGAUAUCUUCCUGCUGAGCGCCAAUAAGACAUAAUUAAAAAAUCUUUGCUAAACUUUCAAACGCAUAAACAAACACAAGCACAUGGCGGACGUGUGUUUAUGAGUUCUGGAGCGUCACCCUUAUGUGUGACAGAAAUAUGGCGGGGUGAUACAGUAUUCUCAGAAACUGACACAUCACCUUCAGGCAGGUUUCUGCUCGACUGCUCCCAUGAGAAAUAUUGUCCCUUCUUUUUUUAUUUCUCUUACAAAUGAAAAAAAAAAGAGGGGAAAGAAAAAUGUUCCUGGAGCUGUAAUUCGAAGCAUGAAUCAUUGAUGAAUGGCCCACAUCCGCCAGUCGCUGGUGGUGACACAUUGUUGUACUUUCGGUGCCAGGGCUGCACUUUCAUUUCAUCAAAUGAAGACAGAUUUCUGACAUCGUGCUCUCCCAUUUCAAAUCUCCAAUCACCUCAGACCCCCAACUCCUGAGGUAAUUGAAGAAAUACAGUCUUUCUUGAGCCAGGGCAGGUGUCAUAUGUUUCCUUGUUCCUGGCUCCGGACCCGUUUCAUCAACCGCUCUAUUUUGGCGUUUAAUCGGCGGAACGUGCAAUUGACAGACCCUUUUGUAAAGGAAGUCUUUUCUGGAAAGGUCAGGUAAGUUCACUGAUUUGAAACACGGUGGAACUGCUUUUUUUCAUUCUCAUCUAUCUUUAAAUUGACCCCAAACCCCCUAAAGGCGGCAUAAACCUCCACGUCCACAAUGUUCUUUCUCAGCAGCUGAACAUAAUAUGUGGCCAAUGUAGUCAGUGUGCCAAUGUUUAAAAUGAUGACACUGGUUGCACCCAAUCUUAGAACCUAUUGGGUGUAGUUUGACGCUUUAUAGCCUCUGGUACCAAGUGACAACUUUUCAUGGCAUCCUGAUGAGGUACUCCAAGAUUUAAACUUUCUUGUGCAGCUGUAGUUCACAGUCCAACUAGCAAAGUGAGCGGCAGGGAAGUAGUUGGUGUGGCUACCUGGAAGUAUGCUGAUAUAUGUGUUAAGACACCCCACUUCCAAAGUAGUGAGGAAACAGUGUAAAAAACACAGAUUUUGAUCGAUUGCAAGUCAAUUAAACUAUUUAUUUUAUUUAAAGUAGUGCAGUAACAAAAUAUAGAUCAACAUCAUCUGGGAGCCAUUCAUUAUACACAAUUUUUUAUUUUUAUUUUUUGUAUUUCUCUUAAUGAAAAGAACAUAAAAUUAUUCACCAUAAUACAUACAUACAUAUAUAUAUAUAUAUAUAUAUAUAUAUAUAUAUAUAUAUAUGUAUAAAAUAACUUCAUACACACACACACACACACACACACACACACACAUAUAUAUAUAUAUAUAUAUAUAUAUAUAUAAUAACUUCAUAAAAAAAAUUUUUAAAUCGUCAGAUUAAUCGGUAAUAGAAUUUUUUUCCCAUCUAAUAAUCGGUAUCGGCAUCUGCCCCAAAAAAUCCAUAUCGAUCAUGCCCUAAUACAUACAUACAUACAUACAUAGAUCAAAUGAAAUACUAGCACUGUACCAUGACAUAUGUACAUUUAAAAAAUUAAUAAAUAAUAAAUAAUAAACAAAUCAUGGAUUUAAAAGAACAUUUCUCUCAUGAUCUAUUUUAUAACCCACAACCAAACUACGGUUAAUGUACACUGAGGCAAAGGAAGACUGCAUCAAAUCAAAACCCGACAUUUUUCUUGGAAAUCAUGGACACAAAAGGGGACUCCCUUUUGCAAAGUUUUUUUUUUUUUUUUUCUUUCCUGAUUUAAUAAAGAAAAAAGUCCAGACUUGUGUAAAAAAGACAGGGAGUGUAGUUACAUACAUUUUUGAGUUAAAAAAUAAAUGAGUAAAUCUAGAAGCCUAUGAUAUGUGUUUAAUUAAGAGUGGCCUUCUGGUUGACAUUUCUACCAAGAGUUUAUUUUCUUCAACUCAGAAUAAUCUUGUCGAAACUGUUAAUUUGUUUCUUGGUCCAACUUCAAAUUAGAAAUGGCAAAAAUGAAACCCUUGAAAAAAUGAACAGUAACUUUGUUCCAAAAGUUAGAUGGAUGUGAAAUAGAUUGUUAGGUUGAUAUUAUCUUAAUGAUGGAAAGGAAGCUUCCAAUUCCUCCCAAAAAGAUAGUCUUGCCAAUUCAAAUUUAUUGUUGCUUCUGUAAUUGAACGAGGCAACUUAAUUUACUGUGCAGCACUUUGGAGCGCUUUGUUUGAUAAAAUGUAAUUAAGUGGAUUGAAUUGGAUUGGAUCUUUCAGAUGAAUUAAGAAACAGCCCUGUGGGACAUAAUAUGGAUUAAACAAACAACUUUAAAAAAGGUCAGACAUCUUUUAGAAAUCACUUGUAGACACUUUUUUGAAAAAAAAAAAAAAAAGAUUUUCCCUGUAUCAUUAAAAGUUUAAAAGUUUAAACAUAUAUCACUGCCUAAAAAUUACUUUUUCCUCUUUAGAUUUCUUUUAAAAACACUUUUUUUUUUUUUAAAAAGCACAUCCACUCCUUUACCCUCAUUGAAAAAUCCAGAACCCAUGAAUAUAUAAAUAUCUUCAGUUCCAAAAGUUUUACUCCUGGAUAUGUGAUGUCUCCUUCUUCAUUAAAAAGUUAUAAUAGUCAAAAAGUUCAUUCUCACAGAGUAUGCACCAUUAGGCUUUAAGCCUCCGCUGCACACUUACAUAUUGGACCAUGGCAGGCGCCCCCCCCCCGAACAGCUGUGAUGAUACGAAUCCUGAUUGUCUGUACAUAUUUUAACUCAAGUCAAGCAGAGAAACUUCCCCCUGGAGCAGAUGAAGUCUAAAAUAGAGACAUUGUUCCAAAAAGUAUAGCUUGAACAUUUAAAAAAGAAGAAACUACCUUUUAAAUAAUGGUCUACGAAUGCAUUUUCUCAAAUACUGACUUUGUACAUGAGUGAAGUUUCACUUCUGCAGGUAAUAAUGGCGAACAACAUGCCCAAAACGACGGGUGGUCCAGUUAACAAGCAACUUCGAGCCUGUUUUCGCGACGAAAACCAGACUCGGAUUAGGGUGGCACAGUAAGAUUCAAAUUGUAAAACAACCACUUAAAAUCAAGGUUAAUAAUACUGUUUACCCAAAAAUAUAUAAUUACUGCAACAUGGGAAUUUCCCUUGUGAUAGAAAGCAGCAAAACGUGUUAAACUUCUUAAAAAAAAAAGAAGAAUAACCGUGUGUUUGUGCACAGAGUAAUAUGCGUUCAUCAGCAGGGAAUUCGAGGGUACCUGGUGGGUCUCAGCUCAGCCCUGUCCCUGUUUCUGCCCACUAUGUCUUUGGUUGAUUUAAUUUUCUUUACAAGGACGAAAUUCUCAAUUUUAUCAGACCUUUUCAUUUUCUUUCAUUUCCUUUGCUACUUUUCCUCCUGUGUGUCACCUGCCUGCCCUUUAAAAAUAAUCAUGAAAACAUUUCGAUUACUCUGUCAAGUCAAAAACACUUUUGUCAACACUGAAAAAGUUUUUAGAAAUCCUGGAAAAUACAGCUAACUACUAUAAAAUGAAUGGCUUGAACACUGACAGUACAUUCUACGACUUAGUAGAAGUACUGUGUCCGAAACUUUAAUGUCCUUAAUUUGUUUGACUACACUAUACAACGCGAAAUUACGAAAUAUUCAGAGGCGGAUUUUGAUGCGCCUGACUAUACACAUCAAGCGCAAUGCGAUUUUGUGACUUUCUGGGGAGAAAAAAAGACGUGUCCCGGGUGAAAGCGAGAAGACUGACACAACACCAGACUGACAGUUUUUCAGUUCUGAUUAGACACUAGUGUUGAGAUGUCUGUCUGUCAUGAUAGCAUGUACUGAGUCGGGGCCAGUACCAGAUAAGCAGAUUAAACUAUAAUCCAUAAACGUAAGGUAACAACAGAGACCUAAUGGUGCUGUGACAGCAACGCCAUUGAGUUUGGGACAGUGAAAAUACAUAUGGUAUGUUGUAUCUGAACAGGUUAGCUUACGAGCUAAAGUUACUUAGCACAGAUGAAAGUUAAAACAAAGACGUUUAGCAAACUGUUAAAGCACACAAACCAUCGUCAUAUGAGAAAUCCGACGCUAUGACUC
RNAcentral lists this long non-coding RNA (63872 nucleotides) under Xyrichtys novacula (pearly razorfish). Lineage: Eukaryota; Metazoa; Chordata; Actinopteri; Labriformes; Labridae. The record is from RNAcentral.